Molecule: long non-coding RNA, 64441 nt
Filed under: Ananas comosus (pineapple)
Lineage: Eukaryota; Viridiplantae; Streptophyta; Magnoliopsida; Poales; Bromeliaceae
Description: long non-coding RNA (ACOM_LNC002848)
Source: RNAcentral
AAAAAAAAAAAUUCUUUGUGCAAUUGUGAGAAAUUGCUUUGAUUUUUACUCAUUGAAAUGCGCUGAUGUUCAUAAUUUGGUAGGAUAGUAUAUUCUAUCUACAAGAUAAUUUAUUUUAUCUGAAAAAAAAAAGACUUGAAGGCCACAAAUAUAGUACUCAAGAUAAUUUAUUUAUAAAUAAUUUAUUUUAUUUAUAAAUGAAGUAAAUGAAGCGGGUAGUAUACUACCUAUCUCUCAAAAAAAAAAAGUUCUAGUAUAAUUAUAAGAAAUCACUUCCGUCUAUCAAAUGUACAGUAAUAGUUUUUUAAUCGUAUUUUUUUUUACUGUAGGUAAACGCAAUCUCCUGUAAUCCCAAACAUAAGUCAAAAGGUUGGGAGGCUGUGUUGGAUAUGGCCCACAUGAUUUAUUCAAGGCGAUCUAUAAAGAUACAGUCGGUCUAUUCAAGUCGAUUUAUAAAGAUACGGAAAAUCUAACGGUUAUGAUGUACUUGGACGCGUUCUUGAUAGACAAACGUGAUUUAACAUUCUUACAUCAAAUUAUAUAUAAAUAUGUAAUAUACAUGAGUCCCGGUCUAAUCUUAAUCUAAUUUUCUAUAACGGCUCCAUCUCCAAGGAUAAGAGAAUUAGACUCGAAACGUCCUGCUUUCUUGCAGAUAACGAAUGAGAUAAUCCGGGUAUUGAAAUCAAAAUUAUGACAGAAAAUACGAUCUUAGUUUCUAAUAAAGUUUCAACAUGUGGUAUCAGGGCCACAUCCAACAGCCUGGUGGUGCAGCGCAACUAUCCUUAGAAUAUUUGUCCCUAAUAAAAAGAUUCAUCUUCUACUGGUCAUGUGCUGCCAUUCAUGAAUUCCAUGGGGUAUGUAACAGUUUUUUACUCCACCUUCAAGCUUUUAUUAAAAGCGCUUCUGAGCAAAGUUGCACGCAUGCGCAUCAACAUGCAUGUGUGUAUAGAAUUAAAGCUGAUUGAAGAAGAAGAAGACGACGAGAAAUUAGGGAAAAAGAGGAAGCCCCAAACUGGGCCGGGGCAAACGCACUGUGCCAUAAAAGAUAAUAAUUAUAAAAGAAAAGAUCAAAGAAAAAGGAAAAGAAAAAGAAAAAGAAAAAGCUGUGUGAUCAGCAGUACUAUCUCUAUAAUUAAAAGGCUUAUAUUAAAGUACUACUGGGAGAUUCUCCAGGUUUUGUAUAUGUUAUGAGCCUAAGAAGUUUCACAGAUAUGUACCACUGUCGCGAUGACUGAUGAGAAAUAAGUGCGCGGCGCUCAGUUUACAAGAGUAGGGCUAGUGCCGCGACUCAAACCCCUCGGUUCGAGCCGAGACCGUCGCGCGCCUCCAUGAGAAUCAAAUUUAAUUUUAGUUUCAAAUUUAUGGUCUCAGAUUGCAUGGUGAUGACCAGCUUGAUGACCGUUAUUUUGAAUUACCAUCUUAGAAUUGAGAAUUAGGUCCUCAGAUAUGCGUUUGAAACGUAAGGCUCGAGUUAUCGGCUUCUCGAGCAUUAGAUUAAGACAGUCGGGGUUGGGAGUUUUCACGGUAGGAGCCUGCACGCAAGACUCAGACAAGAUUCUGGAAAAGAAGAAGAAGAAAAUUAAGAUCCACAUGUAAUGACUACAGAAUAGGUGGAUUAUACCGACCGUCUCUAGAGCAAGUGGCAAAGGGCUUGGUGGUUGAUACCCGAGACCCAAGUUCGAAUCAUAAUUGAUUCACAUUUCCAGUUAAGUUUAUUUCUAAAUGAAAUAAACGAAACGGGCAGCAUGCUACCUAUCUCUAAAAAAAAAGAAUAGGUGGAUUAUAGUAAAAUACAUCGUAAAGUGAAUGACUCAGUAGGAUCGGAACUCAUAAUUUUGUGAUUUAUGUAAAUUUUUUAAUAAUAUAGUUUUUUUUAUCCUAAUUUUAUUUUAUUUAUUUUUAGGACUAGGCAUACCAUUAUUGAGUAUGUCAAUCAAUUAAAUCAGAAUCUGAUUUUAACUAUCUCAAGCACUAGAAAGAGGAGAAAGAGAGAGCCUGACUUAUGAUAAAAUUUUAGUGGAGAGCUCCCCAACAAGGCAUUGUUGGGAAGCCUUCGAUCUACUGCUAUGUGUUAGUGUUACCUCUACUUAAAGACUGUAUUGAGUGUUUUUAAUACUAAAAUUCUAAAAAGAAUAUUUAAAAUCCUUGGAUAGAAGCAAAUUGACAUAUAACAACGAAUCAGGGCUCGGUUCGGAGACCCUAGCUGCUUCCAAAUUGACACAUAACAACGAAUCAGGGCUCGGUCCUUUGAUAUUCUCCCGUGCUCUGCCUUUUGUUUCCCCUUUGUUUAUUUUAUUUUGUUUUCCCUUGUUUGUUUGGUCACACGGACGUGGUUUUUUUUCUCGUUUUCUCUUAUUCCAUCGGCUCGGUUCAGAGGCUCUAGCUGCUUCCAAUUUGUAAGUUAAAUUUAUUUUGCUUAAUGAAUGAAGCAGGUAGCUUGCUACCUAUUUCUCAAAAAAAAAAAAACAAAAACAAAAAAAAAACAACGAAUCAGGGCUCCUCACUAAAGCAUUAUUCGGAAGCUCCAACUGAAGUUCUUACUCGCAUGAAUGUCACAAUAGCUCUUCAAUUGCAUAAAUAGUAUAGUUUUAAGUAUAUAUAAUGAUAUAACUAUGCAUAAGUAUUUAAAAUUUGAUAAGAGAUAAAACACAAAGCAACAAAAUUACUUCUCCAAAAAUUUGGUCAGAUAAUCCAUCCUGCUUUUAAUUUCCCCAGGCUUUAAGCAAAGAAAAGGCAGUAACAACUGACUUUGCUGUCUUCCCUUUUCUCUUUUUUUUGUUUUUUUCCCUCUGUCCUGACCAGAACUGCUUUCCUCUUCUUAUCUUGAUUUCAUGACUCCCACUUCUUUUGUACCUUUUGUCAUUUACUCCCCACCCAUAUUUUGUGAGCAACACUCUCUCUGCAUCCUAAACUUGGUAUAAAUUUUACAUUCUUAUUCAUUCAAGCCCGUUUGGAUUGGAUACAAGUUAUUCUCACCCUUAGCAGGUUGUCUUGGGAUAACCCCUGUGCGAAUGGCUUGUUCUCACCCCCUAUUCGACCUAAGGGUAGGAACAAGUUGUUUCUAUCCCUAUUUUUUUUUAAAAAAAAAAUUUAAAAUUUAAAAUUUAAAUUUUAAAAAAUUUAUAAUUUAUAAUUUUAAAAUUAAAGUUUAUAAUUUUAAAUUCUAAAUUUUAAGUUUUAAAUUUAUUGAUAUUUUAUAUUUGUUAAAUUUAAAAUUUAAAAUUUUAUUUUUUAAAAUUUAAAUUUGUUCUUAAUUUUAAAUUUUAAAAUUUAAAAAUUUGAGAGUUUAAUUUUAAAUUUUAAAUUUUUAUUUUGAAAUUUAGAAGUUAAAUUUUAAAUUUAGAAAUAAAAAUUUAAAAUUUUAAAUUUAAAAAUUUAAAUUCAAAUAUAACGAAAGGGAUAAUAUCAUUUUUCUAUUUAUAACUACUCACUAUCUUUCUUAUUCCAUCAUAUCUACCCAAACAAAAUUGGUCUUGAUUAUAUCUAAGUAGUUCUUACUUAUAUUUCUGAAAUAAGUAGUUCUUACUUAUAUCCGAACCAAACGAAGCCUCAAAAACUCACGGCCCUCUAACAGUCUCGUCAACUUUUUUUUCUUAAUAUAAACCCAAAAGAAUUUUACGAACUCUUGAAUGAUAUAGGUUGUAAAAUUAAUUUAUAUACCCUAUUAGUUGGGUAUUUUGAUCAAUAGUAACUGUACACCGACUUUGGAGGCGUAAAUCUAACGCCAUAAACUCUAAUAAAAGGCCAAAAUUUACUCACCAUCUUCUUAAUUUUGUUUCUUAAUGCUAAAAAACUAGAAUAAGUUUUUAAAAAUCCUUCGGUAUAAGAUGUAUACUCUACCGUAAGAUGUUCAGAUAGAAUGUUAAAUAUAUGCGUACUUACGCAUUAGAUGCAGAUAAUAAUUUCUCUUGUAGAAGAGAAGAAUAUUCAUAUGUUUUAAAUUUUUAACCUAAAUUUUACCCCCUUAUUUAUCUUUUGGCUUAGGGGCUGUAGAACAUGGUAUGAUCACAUUGUUUAAUUUAUAUUCCAUCACUCUGUGUGAGGCUACAAUGUGGAGGAAAAAGGCAGUGGUUGCUGAGACCCUGAAUUUGUUAUUCACAAAAAGUUUCCCUUUUUUGAGUUGUUGGCUCUUUAAUGGUUGUUUAAUCUCUGUGAGUGCUUUUUUUAAAAAAUAUAAAAUUAUUUGAAUUAUUGACCAUCUUGAUUCGAUUAUUCAAUUUGUCAAAAUUUGAAUUUUAGUACCCAGCAUAAUAAUUUGAUGGUUUUUUCGAAUACAAAAUGUAAGUUGGUUUCUCAUUUUAAGAAAUUAAUAGUUACGUAAAUUACAUAAAAAAUGAUAACUAAAACAGCAAAAAUAAAUAAUACGUUCAAAUAUUGAAGUUAAAAAGUUACUAAUUAAUUCAAAUCAAAUAAAUUAAAAGAUCAAAUAGUAAAAUCAAGAUUUUUAAAAGCUAGACAGCCAAACCUAAAUGGAUGAUAGUUGAAAAAAGUUUUAUAUAUUUUUACCAGUGUUUCUGUAGAGAGAAUGUUUAAACAUUUUAACCUUGAGAGCGAAUGUUUGAACGAUUUUUGAACACCCAACAUAUCAUGUAUUCAAUAUUUGAUAACUAAUGUUUUGAGAUAAAAUUAUAAUUUUACAAAUUCAAAGUGAAUUCGACUUUGAAAACACUCUGAUGUGAUCGAUUUUUCAUAAGGAUAUUACAUAGGCGUUGGAUAGCUCUACUAUGAUAAUAAAUUUACAAAGCCACAAAAAUUUUAAAUGGAUCCGCUAAAUAAUGUAAUAUCUUCUUAACUAUUUAUAGAUAAAAAGUAACAAUUGUAAAAAAAAUUUCUAUCUAGGAUUCAAGUAGUUCUAAAAAUCGACAGCAUAGAACAAAAAAAAAGUAAAAAAAUUGCUCGAGUUAAAACAAACUGAAUAUUUAACACGCUCUUUUUUUACUGUCGUAAAACACAUCUGAUGAACUAAAUUAUGAUUUUAAACCUCUGCAAUAAGGUUCAGAGUUUGGUGCAUGGUACACUUGGUGCAUGCAAUAAUUUCUCCCAUUUAGCUUAGUGUUAAAGGAUAACCAAAUAAAAAAACCAUUAAAUGUUCUUAAAGGCGCUAACUAAUCUUAUCCAUUGUGUCUCCCAUUAGAUUAAGGGAGUAAUUAUAUAUAUUAAUUAGUUGAUAACUAAAAAUAAACAAUAGAGAAAUACUUUUAUGUCUCUUAUAAUAUUAUUUUUAUGGGAUAAUUGUCUAUAUAUUUUUCAAAAUUUUGAAAAUAUCUCAUUUAACUCUAUUUUUUUUUUUCUUUCUAAUAUACUCCUUAUAUGCUCCUCUGUUAUUCCAAAAUAUCUCUACAGUAACCAUAUGUUAAGUUAACUUGGGCUAAACGUAAGUUAAAUAUCUACCAUAGUUAAAAAAAUUAAAAUACCACUUUUGCCCUUAACUUAAGGACAAAUAAGAAAUAUUGGUGAUGAUAGAAAGGUAUAUUUGAAAAGACCAAAAAGCAAAAUAUUUUUUGUGCCCCUAACUUAAGGGCAUAUAAGAAAAAUCGGUAAUGGUAAAAAGGUAUAUUUGAAAGGACAAAAUAGUAAUUUCAUAGAAAUAACAGAGUUCAUUAACAGAUUUUAAAUCUAAGGGUAUAAUUGAAAUAUGUUUUUUUUUUUUGAGAGAGAUAGGUAGCACACUACCCACUUCGUUUAAUUUAUUUAGAAAUAAACUUAGCUGGAAAAUGUGAACCAACUAGGAUUCGAACUUGGGUUUCGGGUACCAACCACCAAGUCCUUUGCCACUUGCUCUAGGAUAUUUUCAAUAUUAGCCUUCUAAGAGAGGUAAAUUAGAAAGUCGGAAACUUUUCAGAAAUAUAUAAACAAUUGCCCCUAUUUUUAUAUAUUGUAUAUUAUUAAUAUGCAUGUUAACACAUAUGAUCUGAAGUAUUUUAAUUAGUAUACGACCGUAUUCUUAUCUGUCAUAUAAAUUUAUCAACAUAUUAACGAUGUAUAAAAAUAAUAUUAUAAAAGUAUAUAGUAUUAAUACUCUAAUUAAUAAUAGCGAGAACAUAUAUUCCUUCUAUUACUAUUUUUUAUAUACUACUUAUAUGUCAAUGUAUGUUAUACGAAAACGCUAUAUCUAUUUAGUAAUACAUUAAUAAUGUUAAGAGUUUUAUUUUAAGAAUGCAAAUUAUUUUUCAGUGGAUUAUGUAUAUGUCUCCCUUUUAUGCGUUAUUUUAGGAAGCAAAAAGCAUGCAUUAAUUAACACACCUAAUUAUUACCUUAAUUAGCACGCAUGGUUGUACCCAAAGUAGUUAUUAUAUUAUUAAUUUAUAAUAGUAGAUUAUAAUGUUAAUCAAGGGCUCUAGGGAAUAGCAAAUGGAAAUUGCAUGCGAGCUUAAGCCUUGGGGAAAAGGAGAUGCUCACUUUUUGUCAUUACAUGGAAGAGUACUUUUUUGACCACUUUUAGCAUCCCUUGUUACUACAAUUAAAUAAAUAGAAAACAAAAAAAAAAAUUAUAAAUAAAAAAUGAUAAUGUAUUAACAAAGCUAAUUUUAAUAUUAAUAAAAAUUAUUAUUUAAUUAACUAAAUUUAAUCAGAUUUAUUAAAUUUAAUGUGAUACUAAUAAAAAAUAGAUCUGCUUUUGCCGCUAAAUUUUUGUGCCUAAAAGCAAAAUUGAGAUUGCGAACCUAAAAUUUAGAUGAUUUACUUCUCUAAUAAAAUCUUACAGGUAAUUAAUGUUUCACAAGGAAUUUAUCUCGAGUAACUCUAUUGAGUCAUAGUGUUUUAGAGAUCUAACAAAAGACAAUAUUAUUAUUUUUUUAGUUAAAAAUAGUUUAAAAUGCUAUUUAUCUAUAUAUUAUACAGGAUGGUAAUGUUUAAUUAGUUAGUUGUAUUUCUAUAAAAUAAUGUUGAUUAGCAUAAGGCUUGUCCACAAUAUGCUCCUAUAAUUGAUACACUAAUAAAUGUGGGGAAGAUAAAGCUAGAAUUAGCAAUAACACAUUUCAAAAAAGUAAAAUACUUAUCCGUUCUAAGUUCAAAGUCUAAUUACUUCACGUUUUCAGUUAAAUUUAUUUUUCAAAAAAUAACGAAAUAAAUAACAUGCUGCCUUUCUCUUUCAAAAAAAAUUAAAUAAAUUAAAUUAAAUAAUUUAAAGUUAUAUAUAAAUAUAUAUAUCAAUAAUCUAUAAAAAUGCACUCUUCUAACAAGAACAAUCAUGAAAAAUCUACAAAAAUGCACUGUUCUAACAAGAACAAUCAUGAAAAAAAAAAAAAAUGGUGACUAAGACCCAGAAAAAAUAAAAAUAGGGAGAAGCUCCAACAACCAUUUUUCAUACAUUAAUAAAAUAGGAAGCACAAUAAAUAAAGCGGGUUACAUGCUAUCUUUUUCUUUAAAAAAAAUAAAUAAAUAAUAAAGUGGAAAGCACGUCGAUGCGAACGCCGAUUUGUGGUACAUCAAAAUUUUCUGCCCAUGAACCUGUACAAAAAUAGUACGCAUAUGCUAAUUAUUGCACAAAUUGACAUUAUGAGCACAGCUAGCUGUGCAACUCGCUCGUAUCCGGCUCGAAAUGAGCUUUAAAUGGAUUAUUUGUUUAAUAAAUGAGCCGAACACGAGUUGAGAUCAGUUUGUUUAUAUAAAAAAAUUUAGGCCAAUUCAAAUAUAAAGAGAUUUAUAUUUCACAAAUUUUAAUUAUUAGAUUAAAAUUUUAAUUUUUUUUUUCAAUUUUUUACUCGAUAGCAAGACUACCGAUCUAACUUACUGUCCGUGAGCUAACUCAUGUUUGACUCGUUAAUAAACAAGUCAAAUACGAACUGAAUAUUGCAUUCGUGAGUUAACUCAUGUUUGACUCGUUAAUAAACAAGUUGAAUACGAACUGAGUAUUGCAGUUCAAAAUUCUAACGAGCCAACUUAUGUUUGGCUCGAGCGAACAUGAGCCGGCCUAGCUCGCUCGUGUUUGGCUCGUUGACGGCCGUAACUAUGAGAUGCAUAGAUGGUAGAGUACCCACAAUUUUGCUUGGAUUGAAGUUACAAACAAACACAUGGUAAAGGUAAAGAUUAAAACUACUAAAAUAUCUCUAAAAUUGUGUACAUGCAUGGAAUUGUAUAUCCAUACAACAUGUUCCCUCUUUCCUAGUACGUUGGUAGUUAGAUAUAUUUUCAAAAAAAGACACAAAUCCUGCCAUUCUAACGGCUAACUAACUGCCCAGUGGCCCUCUCCAUAUUUACAUAUCACCCACUCACAAAAGAUGUAAAUCACAAUCACACCCUUCAAACUCCGGCAAUUCUCACGGAGCUCGGCAACAGAUCUCCUCCGUCGUCUAUCCGCCUCCGCCCACACCCGCGCCCUUUCACCGACGAUAACCGUACGGUGGAUCCGUCUUCAAGUUUUAAGUUGUUCUUCAACUUUUGUAUGGCGGGAACUAACACUCUGUCUGACCAUUCGUCGAACAUGUCGGUCGUAGCGCCUCCGGUCAGCCAAAUUGUGCCUACUAACGGAUCGAGCGCGUCCGUGUCGACCUGUAGAGAGCACGCAUUUCCCACGAUCGCUGUGAACUUCGCGGUUAUUGUAUCGGAGAUUCUCCGCCUGAGCGGACCGAAGUCGACCGGUUUGAACACGACGGCGUCGUCCACCAUAUCGAUGAAAUCAGCAGCGUUCGACGACGUCGAGCAGUUAUUGAUGGCGAGCCGCCCGUACUCAUGCUCGUGGUCCACCGUGAGAUCGCUCGAGCUUCGCGAGCCCUCUCUGCCACCGCCGUCGUCGUCAGCAUUCACGCCGAUCGCCAAAUUCAAAUCGAGCGAGAUGCCUUCCGAUCCCUUCCGCGGCUUCACGAUUCGAUCGCCCUCCUCCGGUAACCACUCGGGCCGGCGUUUUCCGGUUCUUGUCUCUUCGAUGAGAGACAACUCUAAGUGCCAUGACGAAUGCGCCGAUUCUAGUAUUUUUUCCUCAACGCCCGAGCCCUUGAGAUCCCCCGACGAGCAAUUCGACAUGAGCACGAAGACGGCGCUCCCCAACCCUACCUCCCUGCUGUGGGAGUCCGCGAGUCGGCCCGUUUCGAUCGCCCGUUUGAUGACCCCCUUUGCUGCAGCAUCAGCAUGAUCGACGUCCUCGAGCACAACCACGCAGAAGGGGUUUCGCCGGAGCGCAUCGGCGACGCGAUCGAUCGGCAUCUUACCACGUAGAUUUACGUCAGAUUCGCCGUCUCUGUCGUCAGUUCUCGCAUAACCGAUACGAAUACUUAUAGGCGGCCCACCAAACACUAGCUCCGACAAAGCACACGCCAUCCUGCUCUUGCCGACCUCGUCGGGCCCCAUGAAUAGAAGCCACGUAUCGGCUUUCGGCCGUAGGCCGCGGGGUUUACAGUUCCCCGACAUGGUUCGGAUCACCGCGGCAGCUACGGCCGAGGCCGACUCCCUCUGCCACUCGACCUUCGCUGCCAGUCCCUUAUACAGCCUCUUUAGAGAAUCGCUUUCCGGCGAAAGGCCUCCGCAUCUCUCAAACACGCCGUCCGUCUCCGACGGACCGAGAACAAGAUCGGUCUUAACCGAGCUCAAGGACGUGCGCGCGAAACGGUGGAGGCGUUCGCACGUCUCGCGCCACCGGUCUCGCAGCUCCUCGCUCUUCUGCUUCCGCCUAAGCUCCCGAUCUCCACUCUGUGGAACUCAAAAGCCUGCAUCAGAAGCGAAUUCUCGAAUACGAAGUGAUUAAUGAUGAGCGAAGAAGAGCAGAAACGAACCUGGAGAUGAUCAGCGGGAGACGGAACUGCGACGUGCAACCAUUUGGGCACGUGUUCGGGAUCGGAUUGCUCUGCGAAAAGUUUGGAAAAAAAAAAAAAAAAAAAAAAAAAAACAAAGUUAUGAAAUAAAAAAGAAAAUGAUAAUUCAUUAGUAGUGAUAAUGAAAUAUAUAUAUAUAUAUAUAUAUAUAUAUAUAAUACAAAAUAGAGACCUGUGGUUGUGGAGAGUAGGGGGAGGCGGGGCGAUGGGAAGGGCUUGGAGGUCCCAAUCGGCCUCCAUCGUCGGAUGGUACACCUGGCACCGCAGAUACGUGGCGCACGUGGCGGUCCCCAGGAGCCACACGUGUCCGCCGCCGCCGCCGCGGAGCCGCCGCAGCACCGCCGCCACCUCCGCCACGGCGGCGCUAGCCGCCGGGAGCCAUGUGGCAGCGACGAGCCACGUCAGAUCCCGGAGGUCAACCACCAGAAAAAAUUCAUAGAAUGUACGCGUGUAUUAUUAGUGAAGUGGAGUAAAAAGUCAAUCAAUUAUCUUUAAAAAGUAAUACUGUUAAUCCAUCAUGAUUGUAAAAAAGUAUUUUUAUUGUACUUUUGUUGAAAGAAUGGAUUUGAUUGACUUGUAUUGAUGACGUAGGUGCAAGGGGUUGACAUGUAGGAAUCUCCACCCACCCUCCGUUGCUCUCUGUCCCCUCCUCCUCGUCCUCCUCUUCGCGCCUCCGCGCACUCGGAUUAGCGCGACAAGGUGGCGAGCCCAGGUGAGGUCCGGCGGCGGGGCGAGGGGAGGGGAGAGGGGGAGGGAGGGGGACGAACGCUUGGAGCGAAGGUGCGAGAUGGAGAGGAGGCCUCUUGGCGACGGGGCCGGUGCGAUAGCCGACGAAGUCGAUGGGGUUGCGGUUUCGGGAGGGCUUGGGCAGGACUGCAGGACAUGGCGGAACACCAAGGUCCGUCGGGGGAAGGGGGAGGUGAAGGGGGACUGGGACGCGAGGAGUGGAGGGGCAUGUGAGAGAGGGAGGGAUGGCUGAUGGCCGCCGGGGAGAGAAGAGCUGAUGACGCGGCUCAGGAGGGUCGUCGAGACGGCGAGGGCGAGGUGCCAGCUCGACGGCGUGGUGGGCGUGCGCGUGGCGCGCUUGACGCGGCGGCGAGGCGUUGUGGAGAGGGGGUUGGGGUUUGGGUUAGGUUAGGCGUAUCAGGGUUGGUGGAGGGGAGGGAUAGCGAUCGAUGGCGCGGAGAGCAGAGGUCGAGGCGCGGCAAUGAGGUGGUGGAGGGAAUGGUGAUGGGAGAGGGAGAGGGAGCAGGACGGCGGCGGAGAGGUCGGAGGGUUAGGGAGAGGAGAGGGCGCGGCGACGUGGAGGGGGUCGUGUGUCGAGUGCCGCACAGCGAGCUCGCUCCGGACGCCGACGCGCACCGCCCGCGCUCCGGGCACUCAGGAAUGCGGGAAGCCGCGACGCACUCGCGCCGCGAUUUGAAGUUUUAUUAGUUUUAUGUCUACAAAAACAUAUUUUAUCUCUCUGCUUGACGUACACAUUGUAUGGGUUUAUAUGCGUUCAUCUCUUUAUAUUAUAUUAUUAUUAUAUAUAUAUAUAUAUAUAUAUAUAUAUAUAUAUAUACAGUUCAGUGUCUCUCCCUCACUCUUCUUCCAAAUUCAUACUCUACAUUUCGGCAGUAAAAAGUGAAAUAUUAUGAAGUAGAGCUACUAUGCUAUCGAAAAAAUAGAAGGUUAUGAUACUUUCGACUUUUUAAUCCUUAAAUCAAUCUUUUUGAUUAUUUCUAAUUUUUAGAUUAAUAUUAUUAUCCUGUAAAAAUUACUCAACUCUAGAAGAGAUCGCAAUCAUUCCAACCGUACAAUUCUUAAUCUAAGGGUCAAAAAGUCGGUAGCAUCAAAUUCUCUAUUUUUUAUAGCAUAGUAGCUCUACACAAUAUUAUGUUAUUUUUAUUUUCUACAUUAUUCUAUUUUUUUUCAAAAGUAUUAUUAAAUUACUUUUUUUAAAAAAAAAUCAAUCUUUACUGUAUAUAUCCAACAAAUUGCAAUAACUAGUUGGAAGAAUCUCAAUAAAAAAAAAUAAAAUAAAAUAAAAAAAAUUGAGAAAGUUGUCGAAGAAUGGUCCAUGGUUGAGGGUUCUCUAUACACUUUUACCCUACAGAACAUUUUUUAAGCAUCAUUGACUAAACCGGCCGUCUCUAUAGCAAGUGGCUAAGAAUUUAGUGAUUGGUACCCGAAAUUCCAAGUUCGAAUCUUAAUUGAUUUAUAUUUCCAGUUAAGUUUAUUUCUAAAUAAAAUAAACAAAGCGGAUAACGUGCUAUCUAUCUCUCUAAAAAAAAGAAAAAAAGAAAAAAAAAAAAGCAUCAUCAGCUAAAGUUAACGCCCACAAGCCUUUUGGGACGCUUAUUAAUCUAUUCGUCUGAUCAAUUUUUACUUCAUUUUUAUUGAAACAUAAAGAAACUUAUCAAUACUUGAAUUCUUGGGUGUAUAAAUGUAUUAGAGCGUAAAGAGAGUAAGAGGAGACAAGGGCAAGUAAAAUGCAUGAGAGCUUGAAGCCUUGAUGAAUGAUGAACAUCACAUACAUGAUCAUGGGAACUGAGAAAAUGCCAAGCAUUAAAGAUCAUACAAUAAAAAAGGUUGCAGAAAAAGGAUUCAUGGGCCCAUGCAUGAUUUUAGGGUAGAGGUGGUGCACUUUCAAUUUAUCCAUCCACCCAUGAAUUCAAAAAGCUAAUAAAAGGGCAUUCACAAGAGAACAAGUCAUUGUUAAGAAAAAGUUCCUUUUGGACCUCCCUUUACAAAAAGUAGUUGUUGUAGCUGUUGCUAUGAAAGGGUGUGUGUGAGAAAGUUAAAUUCCAUGAGAAAACUCUUUCCUUUCUCCUUGUCCAUCUCUACCAAACCCUAUCUACACCAUCUUUAGUUUAAUUAUUCCUCUCUCUUUUUCUUUUCUUUUUUUUCCAAACCCUAAAAGCCAUGAGUGACCUCACCAUUCCAACUCCCACCACCUUUUAGAGAUACAUACUUUGGAGAGGACCACAUCCCUCUCUCAUUAUCACCCUUCUUGUUGAAGCCUUGAAAUAAAUUGGCACCCACAUGGUACUGAUUAAAUGAAUCAAGUAAUGGAAACAUGACCAUGAUCAUGUGCAUUUGCUGCUAAUUAGUAAUAUGAAUAGUGGUGUAAGCAUUUCAGAAAAGAUUUUUCCUUCUUGUAGGACUUUACAGCAUUGUCAAUGUAGAACUGAAGUGUCUAAAUGAUCGUAUUGUACGCAUCGGCUCUACAUGGGGCCAUGUCAUGCAUAUUUGAUUUCAAAUUUCACUAUUUUCGUAAUCAUAUGAAAAUAAAAAUGCAAUCACUCGAAAAAAAUAUCUGGGCUCGAAAUUUUUUGAUAAGAGAAAUUGGACUGAAUUUAAAUAGGAGAAAAUGAAUAAAACUAGGGGACCAAUGAAACUCAAACUCAAGGCUGCUACACUAUAAGGGAUCGUUUGGUUAGAUGUAAUUACAAAUACAGUGUAGUUAGAAAUACACGUAGUUAGAAAUACAGCAGUUACAGCUAUAUGAAUCCUAUUUGGUUGAAUGUAGUAGAAAGCGUUACAAGUAUAAAUAAUUUGUUUGGUUGCAUGCAGUUGAGAGAUAAUUUUUAAAAUUUUAUCAUUUUAUAUAUAUGAUGGUGAAAUUACCUCUAAUGUAAAGAAGAAAAAUAAUUUUUGUUUAAAAAAUAUUGAGAAGGUAAGCAUAUCUUUUAUUUAAAGUUACUUUCUCCAACUGCUGUAGUUAGAACUGCGGCCAAUUUGGGCGUAGUUCGAACUGCUGUAGUUGAGCCUCCUCCUGCAGUUCCUACUACAGCAGUUAGAGUUAAAUACAUUAAACCAAAUACGAAAUUUGUAUUUACAUGCAGUUGCAACUGCAGUGCAGUUGCAACUGCAGUGCAACCAAACGGCCCCUAAGACUCUUAAAGACCAAAUUUUAAAUAUUUUGAAUUCAACAUAACUCAACAGGACCAAUAGGUUCAUGAUGGGAAAUGGUGUGGCAUGUUCAUGAAGAUUUAAGCAGCAUAAAAGAGCCCCCCAAUGAGGAAAAGUGGGAGAGGCUUUGAAUAGGCCUUAUUAAGAUAAAAAAGAAAAGAAAGAAAAAGGUUACUUUUAGAAUGAGAGUGAUUAUGCUUUGGAAGCAUCUAUCAAGAAAGAGUGAGACCAUUCAUCUUUUUGAGGAGAAAAAGUUUGCAUUAUCAGAGAAAGUUGUGAUAAAAAGUGCUUGUCUAGCCCAACUAGCUAAUGAGAAGUGGGAUACACUUAAAAAAGAAAAGGAAGAACCAAAAAAAAAAAAAAAGAAUAAAGAAAAAGCUGUUCCUUUGCAUAAAGGAUGAUGCUCCCUCUCUUUUAGCUUUGUUUCUUAGGAUUCCUUAAAACCUACCAACAAAAGGAAAAGACCUAACACUUGCACAAAAGAGAACUGAUUCCAGAUGUUAUAAAAAAGCUUCCUUUUCAGACUUAAGUUAGACUAGUAGGAAUAAAUUGAAUAGUUGUAUAGGCUUUGCUAACAUGCUUUAUGCUUUAUGAAUCAAUGACCCCACAAUUAUUCCUAUGGUUUACUUACUCUGACAUUAAGGUUUAAGGUAUAAAUUUAGCAUUUUAUGACAAUUUCCAGAAACUUUGAUUUGAAAUUGGAAACUUCACUUGAGGUAAAAUGUCCUUUUGUGUCAUAUAAAAUAUUUGUAAUUUUUCAAUGAAAGGUUAAGAAAUUACAGUACAUGACUAACUUGCAAGGAAUCAAUCAAAUGUACAAAUCAAUCUCCAAUCUAGGUCUAAAUCUUAAGGUGACUGGGCAUUUCAUUUUGGAAAAGAAAAAUAAAAUGAUAUGGCUGCAAUAAGUAAAAUAAUUAACAGUAAUUAAUCAAAUAAUUAGGAUAUGAAAUGCCUAUCAUCAUAAAUUCAUCCUCUGCUACUAAUCUGCUACAUUAUUUGCAUGUAAAUAAACUCAUAUACAGAAUCAAAAAUAAGAGUCCAGGUAAUAGAUAUAUACUUUUUUUUUAGGGAAGGUAGCAUGCUACCGCUUCAUUCAUAAAGAAGGUGAAUUUAGCAUUGGAGAGAAGCAACUAGGCUUCAGGAAAAAAAAAAAAAAAACACUACUACUACUAAACACAGUGGUUCUCCCACAAACAAAGAAGGGAGCGAAGAUCUAUCAACAUCUGUCUCAUCGAGAGCCAGAUUCAAAAUAGAUACAAAUAAAUAUGUCAAGUAUAAUAGAUAUAUACUAAUAGAUUCAAAAUGGAUACAAAUAAAUAUGUCACAUCCUUGAGCCAACGCAAGCUUCUACCGGACAAAAUCAAAUUGCUAUCAAUGGCUUUUUAAGCAGUGUGCUACUCAAAAAGGGAGAAGCUAUUGCCUGGAUCUGGCCCAUUGUGACCACAAUUUUAGAGCCCUUAAAAUCAAUCAUAAAGGCCUUAAAAAGUUGAACCAGGUCCAGGCACCAAAGGCUUUAUUAAUUACUUUUCACUUUUCUUCUUUCAAAUUAAUAGGCAAGAACCAGCUAUAUGUAAACCUAAGCAUAUGCCGGCCUGGAUCCGGUUGGGUAAGGAACAGUUAACCCAAUAAAAAGCCAAACGCGGUCCGGCCCGGAUUAUGCUUUGAACUACACAAGGUUGAUUAUUUUUUUCUUUUUUUCUUUUUUUUUCCUCUUUUGCUAAUUGCUACACAUUAUGAAAGGCCAAUGGAUGCAUGCAGAUGCCAUUAUUUUAUCUAAGCCAAGCAUUGCUUACAACUUAUUCAGUUAAACAUUUCCAUACGAAAUGGUUAAAUAAAAAGUAAGAAUUGUCUACAAACAAUUCAAGAUAAUUAUGAAGGAAUGCGGACCUUAUUCCAAACUCGCAGUUUCAGAGAGCUAGCAUUUCAAUAAUUGCUUAUGAUACGGGAUAUUGAAGAGUAGGUUCCCAUGGCCCCGCUGACGAUGCCCAGUGCAGCAAUUAUGAUGCUCAAGGUGAUCUGGAACGCAUCGAAAAGAUGAUUAUUAGCAGCAUGGUUCCAAAUAAUCGCAUUAUUUCAUACUGCAUAAUCUUAUUACGAACAGAAAUGUAAAACUCUAGUUGACCGAACCAUUGCAUGUCUCAUUACCUGCAAAUAGACUAUUAGAAUGAAAAGUUCGUAAAUGAAUAAGGAAAGUUUCAUCACAUUGUUCUUUCGAAAUAUAAAAUAACCGACAUACGCAUCUAAAUUUUUUUUCUAGUUGUCCCUACAAUGAAUGGAAAUAUUGGAGGAGUUCUAAACAAAAAUAUCAAGUUCAAGCGAACCUGCAAAGAUGUUGCUUUGGAUCUCGCUAUCUUCAAAAAGCAGAGAGCCGGCAUUAUGAUGGCCUGGAAGGAAAUUAAAAUUCUCAAAGUUUCAAAAUGAUUGCAUUUGACAACAUUUACAUAUCUUUUAAUCCUAAAUAAAUAAAGCUUUCUAUGUUUGACUAUGUACAUUCUGGAUUCUAAGGGAGAAAAGGCCACGACUCCUAUUUUGCAAGGUAUCAUUUUCAUUAGGGAUCAAUGCUAACAAACUCGUAAGAUGAAAGAGAAAGCACUAGCAUGGAUGAACAAGAAAAUCCUAGAAUCUUACAUUUUUCACGAGAAAAUCAUAUUAGAAGCCAUUUGAUGCACACAAAAGUUUAAUUUGGUGAUUUUAUAUAGUUACUCACUCUUAAUACAUUUGAAUUUACCAGUGAUGCAACAGAAAUAGUAUACUGGGCAGGCACAAUCCAGAAGAAUAGAUUGAUCUAACUGAGCCAGAUUCCUCUAAUAAUUGAUAUCGAGUUCUCUUUCACAAGUUUGAAAAUAACGUUGGUGUAGAUAUCAUUCAAACAAUGCCCAAAGGACGUUAUAUCUUUUGCAUGAACUCCCUUCCAAGCACUAAGAAAUAAGAAAACUAAUAUCUAUUGAUUAUAUGUGAUUUAUUAAGUUAAAAUGCUGACCUUAAGGCAUUAGACAUAUAAAAACACAUAAGAAUCAGUUACACUAGAGGAGACUCAGAUCCAAUUGACAAAAUAGAGCUUGGAAUUAAAAUGAUACAAUUUAUUGUUAUAAAGAACUAAUUGAUUAACGAUAGUUGGUAUAAAAGACUAACGUACCACAAGUAUACUUAAGAGAGAGCCAAUCAAAGCCAUCAACAAACCUGCAAAAAGCAUGCAAUGACUGAUCACAAAUCAGCAGGUUAGAUAUUUAAUUUAAUGGACAGCAUGAUGGAGAACAGCAAGAACAAUAACAUAAAUUGGCCUUGGCAAUCCAGUAAACGACAAAGAAUGCGCCAUAAAAUCUGGAAAACCUUUGAAAUCCCUAAGAACGUUCAGGUACUUAAUAUUUUUAUGUUAGUACUAUGAGCACCUAUUUCUAUUUUAUAUGAAAUAUAAGCGUGUUCAUGCUAUAAAAUGAUAUUUCAUAUGCUCAUAAAUUAUAAAUCAGAUCUUUGCAUAAGAAAGCUUAGUGCCCACCGAAAAAGGGUAGAAGAAAAGCAAUGCACACAGUUGAUACGACGAGAGCAGUUCUCAGCAAGAGAGUGCACCAUAUUUCAUUGGACAAUCUCACCGGAAGAAGCUCCUCUAAACUUCUGGCCAAUGGAUUCAGCAACAAAGCAUAUCUAUUUCUCAUUAAGGAUACAGUAGAUGUACAAAUCAAUAGGACUAUUUCAAGGACACAAAAUAGAGCUUAGCGUCAAACACUUAAUUUUCAAAAGUUUGAUGUCAAAGGAUACUUGGUGAAAGGAUUGAUCACCUGACAAAAGGGUAGAAUGAUGGUAAAUCAGCAAAUAGUUGAGGAAAAAAUAGUAUUUAUAAAUAUUAAUGCUUAUGUUGAAAAAUUGAUAUUUACCGUUGUCCAUAUUGCAACUUUUGAAGCAACGGAAUUCUUUGGCAAAUUCAAUGUUAUUUGAGAAAGAGUAUCUUCGCCAAACAUGAGAAAUCCAAUAGUUGCAAAAGAGCCAUAUAUUGCUGUGCAUAGAGCAAAACUAUUUCCAACAGAGGGGUAAGAACAAAUUGUCAGAAAUCAACAGCAAGCAGCAACAUCGUAAAACAACUCCAUUGUAAUUUCUGUAAUGUAUCCUACCAUAUGAAUAAUGCCUUCUUGAAUUUUGUACGAUCUGACAUCGAUUGGUAAAUAUUUGGAAAAACUGAAUGCCCAGAGUAGCAAAAGCCAUAUACACCGAUAGCAAAAGGAAAACCACUCCAAUCAACUGCUUUUCCAGUCUGAUGAAACCCUACUCCAUCCACAGUCCCAACGAAAAAAACAGAAAGGAAAACCAAUAGAGUGGUGAUCACACCACCAGCUGCAGAAGAUAUGAGGUUAAGAAAAAGUACUUGUCACCUUCCAAAAUAAAAUCAGAGCAGAAAUCUACUGACCCAGACCCGCCACUCCUCUCCCCAAGCCUUUCAAAUUAUAGGUAAAUUUGAAACAACCAAACAGGUUCCUGAACUUCUAUUUUGUUUUGAACCGCUGACUAACAUCAUCUCAUUUCUUUUUAAAAUAUUCCAUCAAGUUUUGACAGGCCUUAGCUUAUUUCCAUCAAGAAAAUGUUGUAAAAUUUUCCAUCAGUUGCAGAAACCAUUAAGUUCUAGUGUAAUUUUUUGAAAUUAGGCAACAUGUAAUUGAAGGAUUGAGAUCCAAUGAGUAAAAUUCAUAAAUUUGUAUCCAGAUGGCCUACAGUUGAGGGGAUAGCCAUAUAUUUUUGUUUAACAUCAUUGUAUCAGUAUUGGACCUCCAUAAAACGAUAGCCAAGUAUACCUGAAAGAUAAGAAAUGACUCUAAGAUCUCGGAGCCAUACAGUUGGUAAAACAAUCAGCGCAGUCAAUAUUCCAAAGAAGUGAAGGGAAUCAAGAUGAAUCCCAGCCCAAUUAAAUGAAGUCCCCGGAAAGAGCCUCGUAAGAUUAUCUCCUUCCAAAAUAAUAAACUCCACACAGUAUGACUGCACACGACAAAGAAAAGAAUUAUCACAAAUUUGAAAAGAAUUCACUGGAAUGAAAGAGCAAGAAGCCACGAAAUUACUUCCUGAAGCUUAGAAGGCUUCACUUACAUAAAGUUCUGUGUACAAUAUAACCUGCACAACAAAUACAAAAGCAUCAGAGAUUGUUUUGGUAGUAUCUUUUAUCAAGUUGGGUAAGAAUUCAUAUUUCGUCCUAUGUUUUCUCCCAUGUACUAUCUUUGUUUGAAUGCUUAAACAGUCAAACAUACAGAGAUAAAUAGCCGUCCAAAACUCCCAAAUGCAGCUUCUCCAAUAUCAGGAUAGCUUGAAAUGCCAUCCUUGCUCUCGAAACAGUACUUCAAGAGAAUCCCAGUAUAACAGCAAACACCUGCGAAAAGAGCUAGGAGAGCCAAACCAGACCAACCAGCCUCCUUAAUUGUAAAUGGAAUGGAAAGAAUGCCGACGCCAGCCAAUACAUUGACCCCUGUACCAUAACAACAAGAGAUGAAAAUUAAUGCAUCUCGAAAUUAAUACAAGCAUUACUAUGUCUUUGUUAUCACACUGAUGAUUCGGCAGGAAAAAGAAAUAUAUAUAUAUAUAUAUAUAUACACCAUUAAAGACGGUCUGUGUAACACUGCACCCAUGGCCGAUGUAUCCUUCUCCGGUAUAUUGUACAUGGAAGGAGAUUGACUCAUCCACCACAGAGUUGAGAGCUUUCUUCAAGUUCUUAUCUGAUUCUUGCUUCUCCAAUAGGUGAUCAGAGAAAGAAGGCAGCUUAGCAUCAGAGCCUAGUCCGCUAUAAGACCGAAGAUCAAAGCUCGAGUAUCUAAUACUAGGAGAACGUCUGAGAUACCCAAAGCUUGGAGAUGCUGUGAUUGAAUAAGAAUCAAUUGUUUCUCUGUCACAAAUAAAGGGUAUUAUGUCACGAUAAAGUCUUACACGAUACCCAGAACAAAGCAUACCAGACGAAUAUAUGAGAAUACUGAUCUACAGACUAUAGUUGAUAAGCUGAAUAUAGAGAACAAAAUGCACAGAAAGAGGCAUCCAAUUAAGUACAGUUUUCGUUCAAUUCACAAAUUAUUUCCACAAAAGUAGACAUUUUUGCUAGGAACAGGGUGUGGGUUUUAAAGACAACAAGGCCUCAGUUAAGACCAAGAUUACUGGGGCUUACUAGGAAAGGCCUUCUCGCAAUUAAACACUCAAAAAAUGGUCUAGGUUGAUCCGGUUAACCUCUUUAAUCCAAUUUUAUCAAAAGAGACCGUGGAGUAGAGCUAGCUCCAUUUUCUAAACUUAUUCUCCUAUAUAUAUUACAUGUAUUAUUGUUCUGUCUAAGAAAAAAAUAUAUUUUCUUGUCACACCAACCAAAAUUAUGUUAUUGUUGUUCAACAGAGUGCUGUUCAAGUUGUACUGUUAGGAGAAGCAAUAAAUUGAUUCCUCAAGCAGCUUCUCUUUGCAGCAAAAUCAGAAACUCCAGAUUGGAUAUCAUGCUUUUGAGCCUCAAAAUCACAUUUCUGCUUCCCGCCUGAGCAAAAGCUCCAGUCUUGUUUGUUUGUUUGCAAAAUGCUCUAUUAAGAUGACUACACCCAAAAGCAGAAGCAGAAGUAAAAGUAAGACCAAACGAGCCCUAGACCUAUAGAACAAACAAGUUUCUCAACAGGAAGAAAACUCCUAGUAAAGCAACCCCCGAAAUAAUCUUUUUUUUAAAAAAAAAAACUGUCUUAAUACAAUUGAGUUUGACCAUUUCUUCCAAAACAAAAAGAAAAACAACUCCAAACGCUUCCUCGAGUUAUUAUUAGGCCUCCAUGACAAAGUUCACACCUUUCAUUAUCAUUCUCCCCAAACACAAAACCAAAUUGAUUAAACAAUAACAGGUCCCAAACAGUUUAACUCCCACCCAUACAACACUUCACCAGAUACCACAAAGCAUUUAUAGGAUUAAGUAAAAAUGUAUAUAACUUACCUGAACUACGGACAAUUUCAACUAUACUUUGGACUUUAAAAUUUAAACUAAUUAUUUACUUUAAUAAAUUUUAAAAUCAAAGUGUCUGUUAAGCAACUCAAAUCGAGUCAAAAUUUUGAAAGAUCGAAUAGCCGACUCAAAAUGGUCCAUAGUUUAGGAAAACUCUCUACGUUUUCACCACAGGAUUGUAACAACAACAAUAACAACAAGAACAACGUAAUUGAAGAGGAGAAAUGGAUACAGGACCCGCCAUUGUCGCGGAGCUCCACACUCACCUAUAGCUCUGGGGCCAUUGGCGAGAUUGGAACUGAGACGAGGGCUCCUUCUCCUCCUCCUCCUCCUCCUCCCCAUCGCUCCCUCCUCCGCCCUCGUACUUGUCCUCCUCUAUGUCCCGGUCGCUCCCGCCCUCCAUGAACACCUCCUCCGCGUCCCUGUCCCUCUCCUUCCCCGCCAUCCUCUGUACCCCAACCGUGAACCCUAAACCCUAGUUCUCAGAUGGAAGAAGCAAAGCGCGGAAAUCGCCGAUCAAAUUGUGCGAUUUCGCGGGAGGGGUAGAGAACGAAAGACAAAAAAGGGAUAAUACGUUCGCGAAGGGUGUAGCAAGGUUUUCGAAACGGUUUAUAUGUGGCCAAAAAGAAUCUGUACACUGAUUGGUGCAAGGGAAUCCUCGCCGUUGAGCAGCAGAAAAUUACAAAUAUAGAGAGUCCCGUUACUAUCUGCGUUGGUUUAGGCAUAAGUAAAAAUUACUUAUUUAUUUUUACUCAUUUUAGGUGUAAGUUAAAAUUACUUAUUUCAGAAAUAGAUAUAAGUUCAGAUAUAGUUAAGAACUAGGCCAAUUUUAUAUUUGGAUGAAAAUUGGAUUGUUCUGAAAAAUAAAAUAAAUAGUGUUUGAAUGGUUAGAUUGGAACAGAGGGAAUAAUAGUUAUAAUUUUAAAUUAAAAUUAUUUUAUCUAAUUAAUUAACAUCAAAAUAUUACUUAAAAAUAAUAAAUUAAUGAUAAGUUAGUUAAUUAUAAAUUAAUAAAUUAAUUAAUAAUUAAUUAAUUAUAAAUAAAUAAAUAAAGUAAUUAUUUAAUAAUUAUAAAUAAUUAUAAUUUAAUUAGUAAUUAUAAGUAAUAAAUUAAUAAAUUAUUUUAUUAUUUAAGCAAUAAAUAAUUAUUUAAAUAUAUUAAUUAAAUUAAUUAAUUAUUUAAUAUCAUAAUUAAAAUUAUUUUAAUACUUUAAUUAAUCUUAUUCUCACAUGAGAAUAACCUUGUUUCAUGGAAAAGAUAGAACAGUAGUUCCAACCUUAUAUCGGCUUAUUCCAGAAAUUCGAAAAUUACUGUUCUCAAGUACCGAACGCAGUAUUUGGGAACAAAGGGGGGAACAAGUGGUAUAGAUCAUAUUCAACAGUGCCGAUCGUCAAUUUGGAGGCUCUAUCAUCGAAAACAAAUGGGUGACAACAGAGUCCGUUUGCUCCCGAUAGCAUUUCAGCUCAACUAUAUAUAUAUAUAUAUAUAUAUAUAUAUAUAUAUAUAAAAACUGGUAUACUAUCGGUAGCACGGAGGCCUCCGUGCUACCAAGUUGUUUUCAAUGAUGUAGCUUUCAAAUCGACGAUCUGUUUCCUUAAAUUUGAUCAACACUAUUAAAAGUAUUUGGAAACUAAAUUUUAUAAUUUUUCGGCAUCAUAUACCUAUCAAACAAGUAAUCUAAAAAUAAACAACUGAAAAUAAAAAUCUCAUAAAAGAUGAUGAUAAAAGACAUGUAUUUAAGAUCAGACGUACUGAUCUUACUCUAAAUAGUUGAUAUCUGUCGUUUUCAAGUUUAACGGUGUAGAAGUAUUCAAAUCAGAUAAAAUUUUGAUACAAAAUUCGUUAUACUAUCUACAAUAAAAUCAAUAUUUCUGAUCGAAAAUUUUAAUGCUAUAUCACCACUUUUUAUUGAAUUUUUAUUUUCAGCCGUUAAAAAUUAUUGAUUUUGAAUUAUUUCGAUUGCUAGGUAAAUGAUAUUGAAAAAUCACAAAAAUUAUUCUCUAGAAAGUUUAAAUACCCUAGAUCAAGUCUAACAGAACCGAUCGUUAAUUCGAAAAUUCUAUCAUCGAAAACGACUCAGGAGCACGGAGGCCUCCAUGCUCCUGAGAGCACAGCAGCCCUACUAUAUAUAUAUAUAUAUAUAUAUAUAUAUAGAGAGAGAGAGAGAGAGAGAGAGAGAGAGAGAGAGAGGAUUAAACCUAUAUAUUAGGAUUAAUUUCAUACAAGACCUUGCAAAUAUAGUGAUUAUAAAUAUAUUCCUACAAAGUUUAACUUUCAAAUAUUAUUCUUACAAAUAUUUCGAUAUUUUCAAAUAUAUUUCUACUGUUAAGAUCCGUUAAAAAAAAUGCGAUAUGCUGAACCUUAACAAAUUGACAAGGUUACAAUAUAAAUUUAUGUUUAAUUGAGUUGAAAAUAUUUUGCGCAAAAUAGACCUAAAAACAGACUUUAAAAUUUAAAAUUUAAGUUAUAGAGGACUAAAGUUGAAUACUUAAUUUUGGAGGUCUUUCUAGCAUUUUUUCUAUAUUAAGUCGUGGAGUCCAGGUUGACACCCCAUCCUUAACAAUCUCCUUUUUUUGUUGUCAAGUAAUAAUAGAGAGAGAUAUUGAGCACAAAAAAGAGAGCUUUGUUUCGUUCUAACGAGCGAGCGAGAAGUCGAGUAUGCCCACGUGUAUUUUUGGUAUUUCAACGUCACGAUUAGUAUUAAAAUAUUAUUAUCUUUAUUUAGACUCUUUUGAUAUUUUUUUGAAAAAGUUUGAUAGUUAGAAACUGAUUUUUUUAUACUUUUUAGGAGCGUAUUUUCGCAUAAUUGUGACGAGCAAUUUUCGAGUUAUUUUAAAGUAUUGUAGUUACUAUCCUAUCUACCGUUCAUUUUCUCGGAUUUGUAUUAUAGGUAGAUUCUGUGUUCUCAAAAUUGACAGACUAAUUUCUAUAUUCAUAUUAUAUUAUUUAAUCUAUGAGAUGAAUUGUUGAUAUAGUUAAAAUAAUAGUGAUAGAUUGACAUAUGUCAGUAUAUUUUUCUAAAGGUCAAUAGACAAUUACAGCUAGUGUAAAGUAUAACUAUAUUUUGGACACUAUAACAGUAUUAUCAUGAUCUAUUUGAUCAUCGUAUUUGACCACGGCCUUCAUGUUAUGUUGAAAUUGACAAUAAUACUAUACUUUGGGGUAGCGCCCCGCGAGUGUCAUUUCGAAGGUUAGGUUAUAAAAUAUUAUUAUGAUAUGGGACAGACAGCAGUCUGCGUGAUAGCGGACCACUAUAGGCGGUGUUGGACACGAGGCGACGCAAGUUAGACGUGACUGUUGGGUCGGUUAGUAUGAUUGGGUAUUAUUGCAGUAUUUUAUUUAGUAGUUGAUUGAUGCAUGCAAUACAUGAUUUACCAUUUCAACUAUAUUGUAGAGACAUGAUAGUAGUAGUUUUUUUUCUGCAAUUAUUUAUACUAGUAUCUGUUCUUUCUUAUCGCUCAGUAAUUUACUAUUUUUGUCUUUUAUAGAUUUAAUGGUAUCGUUGGCAUUGACGAUUGUACCCACUGAAAACUAUUGAUUAUAGUUCUCAUACUCUUUUUAUUAAUAUUUUAUUUGAGCCUUCUCCACCAGCGACUGAUCGAAAUAAGGGGACUGCGUAUAGUUAGUAUCUCCUACUCUUUUUGUGUGUGUAGUUGGGCCACCUAUCAGUGUAUAUAGCAGUCUAUACAGUAUUUUGAGGUUUGUAGUGGUCAGAGGUGUUGUACCAUUUUGAGCACUGUUAUGGGGAUGAUUGUAUAUUUUUACAAUAUUGGCGUGACAAAAAAUUAGUUAACCAUAGCUAAAAUACUUAACGCUAAUUAGUUAAUGAGGUGAAUUGAUCCAUUUACCCAUCUUCAAUUAAAAAUUAGGACUUUCAGAGAGAUAUAUUUGUGAUGACAAAACGAUUAUUUCACUUAUAAAAUAAAUAGUAUUUUAACGGUAACAAAUCAGAUGAAUAUAUUUGGAAAUAUUAUGACGAACAAUAUAUGAAAGUACGUCAAACUUUGUAGAGGUAAAUUUAUAAUUUACUAAAGGGACCUGUAUAAAAUUAAUUCUAUAUAUUAAUAAGAUAGGUUAUGUGAACCUAAGUUUUGUAUUUAUAGAAAAAUUGCUCGGAAGCAAAACAAGAUGGAGCGUUGAUUGAGAAAUUUGACGGCGGUAGUUGGUGCAGAGUCAUCAGGUCGGUGACUGACGCACGAUAUAUAUUUAAAUAAUUUGAUAGUUUUUCAAAUUUAAAAAUUUAAAUUAAUUAUCUAUUUUAAUAAAUUUUAAAAAUAAUAGUAAUUCAGUUUAAAUGUAUACAUCUAAAAAGAAUUGGCAUAUAUAUAAUUUAAACGAUAAGGUACAAUAUUUAUUUUAUUUUUUUCUUCUGGUUGUAGUGGAAGAGAUUUUUUUUGUCCCCGUUAACAUGUCAUUUCAAAGAAAAUAAUAAUUGAUGGGAUACUGACCGUUUCUAGAGUAAUAGUUGAUAUCUGAGGUCUCAAAUUCGAAUUCUAGUUGAUUCAUAUUUUCAGCUAAGUUUAUUUCUAAAUGAAAUAAACGAAGCAGGUAGCGUGUUUACCUAUCUCUCAAAAAAAAUAAAAAAUGAUGCGAUGUACAGUAGAAAGAAUAAUAUAUUUUUUUUACUCUGAGAUAUCGUUUGGUUCGAGGAUAAGUAAAAAGUGACUAUUCUAGGAAUAGGUAUAAAUUAAGGUAUAAGCGGGGAUUAGAUCAAUUUUGCGUUUGGAUGAAAAUUAGGUUAUUACUGGGAAUAAAAAAAAUAGCGUUUGGUUAGGUAAGAUGGAAUAAGAAAAAUAGUGAGUUUUAUAAAUAAAAAAUAAUCAUAUUAUCCUCUUAUUAUAUUUGAAUUUAAAUUUUUAAAAUUUUAAAUAUAUAUUUUUAAAUUUAAAAUUUUAACUUUGAAAUUUUAAAUUUUGAAACUUAAAAUCUCAAAUUUUAAAUUUGAAAAAUAUAAAAUAUCAAAUUUUAAAUUUCAAAUUAAAAUAUCAAAAUUUAAAUUUAAAAUUUAAAAUUUAAAAUUAUAAACUUUAAUUUUGAGAUUAUAAAUUAUAAAUUUUAAAAAUUUUUAAUUUUUUCAAAUAAGAAUAGGGGUGGAAACAAUUAAUAAAAAUAAUUUAUUAUAAUAAAUGUAUAAAUUUUUUUAAAAUUCUACUUAAACUUAAAUUUAAUAAAAAGAAUUUAUUAUAAUAUUUAAAUAUAAUUUACUAUAAAUUUUAUUAUAAUAUUUAAAUAUAAAUAAUAAUUAUUAAUUUAGUACAAUUAAUAAUUUUAUAAUAAAAAUAAUGUAUUAUAAUAUAUAAAUUUUAAAAUUUUAAAUUUUAAAAUUUUAAAAUUUUAAAAUAAGAAUAGGGGUGGGAACAAUUAAUAAAAACUAUUUAUUAUAAUAAAUUUAUAAAUUUUUUAAAAAUUCUACUUAAACUUAAAUUUAAUAAAAAGAAUUUAUUAUAAUAUUUAAAUAUAAUUUAUUAUAAAUUUUAUUAUAAUAUUUAAAUAUAAAUAAUAUGUAUUAAUAUAGUACCAUUAAUAAUUUUAUAAUAAAAAUAAUGUAUUAUAAUAUAUAACAUAUUAUAUUUAUAUAAUUUAGUUUUAAUUCAAUUUAUAAUUUUAAUUAAGUUUGAAAUUAAGAAUUGGAAUAGUGCUAUUCCACCAAAAUGGUGGAAUAGCAAAUUCCUUGCUAUUCCGGGAUAAUCGAGAAUAGCAAGGUUUGACCGGAAUAAAAUAUUCCGGUCAAAUUUCAUCCCGUUUAGCAGAAUAGCGGGAAAAACUUUUGUUAUCCCCGCUUAUCCCCCAACCAAACGGGGCUGAGAGAAUAUUUUUACAUUUAUAUUGUCCAAAUUUGGUGAUUAUCUUUUUGUCCUUGUAUUACGUGUUAUGUGUCUUCUUGCUCUUGGAUCAUGUGUGGUAUGUGUCACCUUUUUAUCCACUUUUUGUCACAAGUGUAUAUUUCGCGCCACAUGGAACAAAGUGUCCUUCAAGGAUAGAAAAUUUUGGCCCACAAAAAUAUUGAAUAUAUAAUUCUUUAUUAGUAAAAAUAUAUGGAAUUUUUUUUUGAUCUAUAUAUAUACCAUUUCAUCUGAUCAAUUAAUUUAUUUGGUUUAAAUUAUUUGAUAAUUUUUUGAAUAUAAAAUUUAAAAUAUUUGUUUAUAUUAAUAAAUUUAUAAUUAUAUGAAUUAAAUAAAUUUUACUAAAUUAAUAUGAGUUAAAUAAUAUAUUAAAAUCUUAAAGUUAAAGUAUUAUUGGCUGUCUCAAAUUAAAUAAAUUAAAAAAUUAGAUAAUAGAAUUAAUAAUUUUAAAAGUUGGACAUUAGAUCAAAAUGCAUUACGAUCCAGAUAAAGUUUUAUAUACUUUUAUAAUUUUUAUUUUUAUAAGUGGUUGUAAUCUCUUUACCUCGAGAUUAGGUUUUUUUUAAGAAACUUUGCCCCAAAAGCGCAUUUAGCUUAGAGAGGACAUAAUGCUAAAAAAAAAAAAAAAAGUGGCGAGCUCAACAACAAGGCGACGUUGCCUCGUUGGAGAGCUCCAAUCCGUCAUCACGUAUUAUUUUUAUCUUUAUUUAAGGAUUUAUAAUCCUUCCUAUUAGAGUUUCAAUUUUUUUUUUAUUUUAUUAUUAAAAAACAUCUUUAACAAAUUGGUGGAUGGAAACAAAAUUAACUCAUAGCAGCAGAUCGAGAGCUCCGUAAUGAAAUGUCAUUGGGGAGCUCCACCACUGCGCAGUUUUAUCUGCAAAAUGUUGAGUUCCAGAACUUGCAAAUACAAUGAACAAAAUCCAAAAAUUCUACAGGGAGGUUUAUCAUUGCAAGAUGACUCGACGAGGAUCACUAUCAUUCCUGCUGCUUUAAGAUUCAGUCCACGCGACCCAUCUCCAUCCCACCCAUCCUCUUUCCUGUAAGAUCUCUUCACCUCUUUCUCACUGAAAAACAAACUAUUCUCUCUCAAAAAUCCUAUCCCUAAUCCUAACAACGCUGCGAAGGUAACGAGCUGGUGGUGCGGCGGCGAGAAAUAAUUUUACAUAUUUUUUAUAAUUUUAUUUCGUACAUAAAAAUUUUUAAAAUGAAUUUGAUAUUUUUUUUUGGCAACGCUCUAAUUUGAGAAUAGUAUUAAAUUUUUCAUAAAUUUUUAGAUAAAUUUAUAAAAUUAUAUUUAAGAGUGAAAUUAGUGUUGUGUUACCCUAUUAUUUUUUAGUUUAUAUGAAGCAAAUAAUGGAAUGAAAAUAAUUCAUUCCAAUUUCCAAUCCACGAAUGAACCAAACGUCUAUAGGGAGCAGACCAAUCCAAUUACCUUUCCAAUUUAUUCACAUUUUAUUAUCUAUUCCAAUUCCAACCUUGAACGAAACUAAUUAUAUUUAAGAGUGAAAUUUUUAAAAUUAUUGAUUAAUUUUUUAGGUGAAGCUUUUGGUUUUUUGUGUAUUUUUGAUCAUAAGCGAUGUACUUUCUUUUGCAAUGCUGGAGCUCUCCAAUGCAAAAGAAAUAAUACGAUUGUUUUAUAUUAUUUAACAUAGUAUUAGAAUACAUAGUUUUGAGUUUGAGUCACGCCAGAUUUAUUAAUUUUUUAUAAUUUUAAUUCAAAUCCAUAUUGUGAGCAUGGUAAAAAGUUUGAGUCGAGACGUGAGCGAGAGUGUUAAAUAUAAAAAAUAUUUUAUUUAACAAUUUUCACACAAAUUAAAUCAAGAUUACUUCCCAUUUCCAUCACCAUCAUGCCAUCUAUGAUGCAUUCAUGCCCUGGAGUCUAUACAUAUUUGUGUCAGUGUGUCACUGGACCAGUUCACCUCAUAUAAUUUUAUGGGAAAACUUCAAAUACCCUCUAUGAUUUCGCACUUUUUCAUUCUAGUACCCUAUGGUUUAAAGUGUAUCAACUUAGUACCAUAUGAUUUCGCACUUUUUCACUUUAAUAUCCUGUGGUUUUAUUUUUGGAUCAAGUUAGUACUCUGUGAUUUCAUUUUUGGAUCAAGUUAGUACCAUGUGGUUUCAAUUUUCUCUUUUUAUUAUUUAUUUCUGGGUAUAUAAUUUAACGAAAUAUUAAACCACAUAGUACUAAAGUGAGAAAGUACGAAACUACAGGGUACUAACUUGAUACACUUUAAACCACAGGGUACUAAAGUAAGAAAGUGCGAAACGACAUGGUACUAACUUGAUACAUUUUAAAUCACAGAAUACUAAGUGAGAAAGUGUGAAACCACAAGGGUAUUUGAAGUUUUCCCUAAUUUUAAUCCACAAAAAUGUAGCAUAAAAAUAACAGAUUAUAAACUCAUAACAGAAGAAAAGUACCAGUAAACAGUUUGAUUGAGAUUUUCUGAGUCUCUUAUUACUAUCUAAAACUGCCAAAUAUUUGUCUAGGGUUCUUUAUUAUUUACUUGCUGUUUUUUGCUUGGAUCCAAAGCAUCAGAAAUUAUCACCUCUGUAAUCAAUCUUAUUACACUCACUCCAUAAAUUAUCAUAAGAUAUAUUUCAUUUCCCUGUGGAUUUACUAGUCCUUUUUUUUUUUUUUUUCGUUUAAUGGUAACCCAAAAAAGUUUGAUAAAAUUAAAACCAUGGUAACAUUUGGAGAGGUUUAAAUUGAGGAAGAGCUUUUUUUUUUGUUGAAGAGUAAAACACACAACAUUGUGUACACAUGAUUCGUCAAAACCCUAUUUUUGUCUCUCUCUCUCUCUCUCUCUCUCUCUCUCUCUCUCUCUUGUAUCCUCUUCUUCCUCAUCUACUACAUUGCUCCGCAAUGAGGGGAGCAAGAUAUGAUUUUGAUGCGAGGAAAGGGCUAAAUGCUUCAUUUGAGCAUCUGGGUAGGUGAUGGAUUUGAGAGAAAUUGUGGAAAUUUGGUGUUUUUUUUUUCAAAGUUUAUUAUAUAGUUUCAGUUGGUGUGGGAUGGUCUAAACCCUAGAAGCAGAAGCCAUGGCUCCGAGCUUGGGCUUCUCCCAGUGGAGGUGGGGGAAGGAGAAGAGAGGAGGGAGGGGAGCCCCUGUGGUGGUGGCCAUGGAAAACCCUAAUUUUUCCGUGAUCCAAAUCGACGGCCCUGAUUCUCCGGCGCGCCGCGGCAAGGGCCAUGGGAGGAGGAGCCCCAAGCAGCUCACUUGGGCUCUAAUCCUCUCGGCCCGCCGCAGCGUUUGCUGCAUUGUUUCCGCCGUGUCGGCACUCUCCGGAGCUCUCAAAAUGCGGCUAAGCCAUGGGCACCGUGUCGUCCCCGGGGACGACAAGCCCGAGAAGCCGCGGCGGCUUCUCAAGCUCAUCAGUGGCUUCCUUGUGCUCUGCCUCGCCGCCGCGCUCCUCAUCAAGCUCUCGGCCUACUGGAAAGGCUGGCGCUUUCAUCAGCCCGAGUUGCAGAUCGAGGGGUGGACGCACUCGGCCUAUCUCUCAUGGCUCUCGUACCGCGCCGCCUACAUUGCGUGCCCGGUUCAGGUCCUCUCUAAAUUCUGCAUUGUUCUCUUCGUCGUACAGUCGGUGGAUCGGAUCAUAUUGUGCUUAGGGUGCUUCUGGAUUAAGCUUAAGAGGAUCAAACCAAGGAUAGAGGAGGGUGCAAUCAAAGGGGAUUGUGAAUUCCCCAUGGUUCUUGUUCAAAUUCCCAUGUGUAAUGAGAGGGAGGUAAUCAAUCACUAAUGACUCUAUCACUCUGCAUAGUUUGAUUUUUUUUUUUUUUCGUUUUGAAGUAAAAAUUUGUAAUUUAAUUCGUGCGGUAGGUUUAUGAGCAGUCGAUUUCGGCUGCGUGCCAGCUCGAUUGGCCUAAAGAGAGGCUACUAAUACAAGUACUUGAUGACUCGGACGAUGACACGGUUCGACUUGUGAUUGAAGCUGAGGUUGUUAAAUGGAGCCUCUGGGGUGUCAACAUUGUUUAUCGGCAUCGGUUGGUCCGCACUGGUUAUAAAGCUGGGAAUCUCAAGUCCGCAAUGAGUUGCGACUACGUGAAAAAUUAUGAGUUCGUUGCUAUUUUUGAUGCCGAUUUCCAACCAAACCCUGAUUUCCUUAAGCUCACUGUCCCACAUUUUAAGGUAGUGAUAUCCAUAAUGACAAAUUCUCCUCCUUUUUUUUUUUUUUUUUUUUUUAAAUCUCUUGAGUUGUAUGAAUAUGUUUAGAAUUAUUCACUCGCCUAUAGAUGAUUUCAAGAAAAUAACAUGGAACUGUGAAUAACUCUAAACGCUGAAAGGAGAUAGCAUAAUUACGUAGGAAUUUACGUUUACGUAAUUUUGGUAAUGAAACAACUUCCAAAUUCACUGAGCUUUCGCUGAAUUUGGUAAGAACAUGUAGUAUUAAAGAAACAAGUGAUCUAUUCUAGUGUCUUGAGUACAUUUGUCGAUCUUGUUUUAUAAUUUAGGGAAAUCCAGAAAUUGGGUUAGUUCAAGGGAGGUGGAGUUUCGUGAACAAGGACGAGAACCUCUUAACUCGGCUCCAAAAUAUUAAUUUGUGCUUUCAUUUUGAAGUGGAGCAGCAGGUAAAUGGGGUGUUUCUGAACUUUUUGGCUUCAAUGGGACUGCCGGUGUUUGGAGAAUUAAAGCAUUAGAGGAUUCUGGUGGUUGGCUCGAAAGAACGACUGUUGAGGAUAUGGAUAUCGCUGUUCGUGCUCACCUCCACGGAUGGAAAUUCGUCUUCUUAAAUGAUGUUAAGGUAAUUAAUGUAUCGAAGAAGCAAUUCUCACGUUAACUUCUGUAUUGAAUAGCUGCUAACUUUGUAUUAGGUUCUUUUCUAGGUUUUAUGUGAAGUUCCGGAAUCUUACGAGGCUAACAGCAGCACAGAUGGCACUCCGGUCCAAUGCACCUUUUUCGUCUAUGCCUUCCAUAGAUCAUAACUUCGAAGGUUUGUAAUCCUCCUAAUUGUCUGUGCGGCCGCAUUGGAGCUUCUGCAAACUUGUUAUUCUAGUAGAGCUUUCAAAAGAAGCACUACUAUCUUUGCUAUUCGGAUCCUUCUCAAAAUGCUUUCCAUUGAAGCUUCAAGUUCGGAGCUUCUGUUUUUGAGGUUCAGAAGCUCAUUUUAGUUUCAUGCCACGGCAGACGCUAUAGAGAUUUUGUUUACCAAAUACCGAGGUUCUGCUUUUCUGAGUAAAGAAGCUAUUCUAGAAGCUUUGUCAAGCAAAGCACCACUUAGUUUUCAUUGUAGCUUUGAUGCAUCAAAAUUCAAGUUUCUAAAAUAGCCUUUUAUGCUUUAUUGCAGAUAUCUAUCUGGAACAAAGACAACUUAAUUCUAUUAUUCUUUCUGUUAAGGAAACUAAUCCUUCCAUUCUAUUCUUUCCCAUUGUUUUGUGUAAUUCCCCCUUUGACUAUGUUCGUCCCCGAAGCCGAGCUACCUGUUUUGGUGAUAUGCUACUUGCCUGUAUUUAUGUCCUUUCUCAACAUCCUUCCCGCUCCACGAUCUUUCCCUUUCAUCGUUCCCUACCUCCUCCUCGAAAACACAAUGUCCGUGACCAAAUUCAAUGCAAUGGUUUCCGGAUUGUUCCAACUGGGGAGCUCAUAUGAGUGGGUUGUCAUUAAAAAGGCGGGAAGGUCGUCAGAAUCGGAUUUAUUAGCAGCAGUAGAGAAAGAUUCAAAAAGCCUUGGCAUCGUAGAGAUUCAGAAACAAGUAUCGGAAAGUGAAUUUAGUGAGCUGAUCAAGUUUAAGGAGCAAGUAGUGAAAGCUUCUUCUCCUGUCAAAAAGGUUAAUAAAAUCUACAAAAAGGAGCUUUGCCUUGCUCUUCUCCUGCUCACCGCAGCGGUUCGAAGUCUUUUGUCCGUGCAGGGGAUUCAUUUUUAUUUUCUUCUCUUUUAAGGAGUAUCAUUCCUCCUCGUCGGAGUCGAUCUAAUAGGAGAACAGAUGAGUUGAUGCUGGAAAAAAGACAAAAAUGAACAUACCAAUUUCACUCAAGUCAUCGACUAUGUGAUUCGGUAAUGAAAACAACAACAGGAUUUAUAUAUAUUAAUUGGGUGAAUCAUGUUACGAGAUUUUCCUGGCAAAACUGGGGAUCAUUCCACGUCUUCGAAGAACUCUUCCACUUGAGUGCGGCUGUAAGUGACAAUUAAUAAAUAACACCAAAUAGAAGAGUUGGGUUCCAAUUUUAUCGAGUAUUAUCGAUAGAAUUUGUAAUUUUGUUCGCUUGUGUUCAACAAUAAACAGCUACAUAUCUGUAUUUAUUCAGUAUAUUGUUGAGUUAAAAGAGAGUUUUUGUACAAUUCUCACCUAAAAUUGGUAGCCUCAUUUUGGUUGUCUUUUUUCCUCUGCUUUCCUUUUCCUAAUUCGUUUCUUUUGGCUGACGAUGAUUGCUUGGGAGUUUUUGGUUUUAGCUCAAGAAACCGUGGGUGGAGACGAACCAAGGAUAAGGGAGUAUCUAAAACAGAACAAUGGCUUUGAUUAUGAUUGAACAAAAGAGGGUGGAGAGGGUCCCAAGCUAUCAAUUGACAAUCCCAUGGAUUACCCAAUGUAAGCAUCUCUUUCGCCAAGUAAUAAAAUAAGAGAAAACUGGCAUCCUGUUGCUCUUAGUUUCAUUCAAGAGGUUUGAGUUUUUGGAAGCAAGAAGUUGAAAUGAUUGCCUGCAGCCCGAAUGCUGAAAGCACUUAUAUCCAUACAUUUCAUGUACCGUAUUGAACAUUUGAUGAAUUAUACUUCGAAAUUGAAAUCUCAUUCCUUCGAUAUGAUCUACAACAUCUAAAGAAGCUAUGUUUGGUGAGUCAUAUGUUCUGAUAAUUUACUAUCUAGAUGUUGCAGAUCAUAAAGGAGCUCUACAGGUAAUCAUUUAGAGGUUGCCGGUUAUAUCGAACGAAUGAGAUUUCAAUUUUAAAAUAUAAUUCAUCAAAUGUUCGAUACGGUUCAUGAAAUGAUUGCUUGCAGUCUGAAUGCUGAAAGCACUUAAUAAGGAGAUAUUAUUGCGCGAAACCAAUGAAUACAUACAUUUCAUGCACUGCACUGAACAUUUGAUGAAUUAUAUUUUGAAAUUAAAAUCUCAUUCCUUCGAUAAUCUGCGACAUCUAAAGGAGCUCAGUAUGAAAAGUCGCAUGUGCUGUUAACCUAUUAUUAGAGCAUGUGCUGAAUUUAGUUUCAAAAUUCAGUAGUAUAAAAGUGACAUUAUCCGAUUCAUAAGAAAUAGGUGUCCACAAUUUAUAAUUCUUGAUUCAUUAACCUUUUGAAUAAUAGAGAGCAGGGCCUCAUAUGGUAGGGUUUUAGUGGUGUGGUGUACUGUGCGCCAGUAAUUUUUAUGUAAGAGGUGGAUGCUGUCCAUGUGCUUAAGAAAAGAAUUACUCAAAUCUGCAUUCUGCAAUGUGUUUGAGUUAAUUAUCUUCUAACCUUACAAGAUCUGGUGAGCUACCAGUUAUCAGUUACAAUUUUAAAGUAUGUAUAAACAGGAAUUAAAGCAUUCGCGGCAACAAAGAUGGGCCAAAUAUAAUCAUAAAUGCAAUAUGUCCCCUGAUUGUUGUAUGUUUCAGACAAAACAGUUGUGAUGUGGGUUCCAUGCUCAUCAAGUGGAGAGUUUUGUUACAACCAUGUGCACUGUUUUCAGCUUGAAAUGAGUGAAACAUGAGUGUUUCCUUUUGUCGCUGUCGCGAAGUUUAAGCUUCCCACCAGUAAUUUCGCGACAAAAGUAGUUGUGUCAGUUUGGUCCUAUUGCUGAGAAAUAUCAAGUGUUCUGUACUUCCCUCUCAUCAGAUCAUGUUGUUUUCUCAGAAUCAGUGAGGGCCGGAAAAUAACCGACAUCUUUGACAUCCAUGUGCCUCAUAUUUACUCAAUACUUUUUCGGAGGUGCACGAAAUCUUAGAAGUGUGGCUUCUGAUCAUUACUUCAUCAGAAUAUAGUAAAUUACUUAGUCAAUAGAACAUAGUAUAUUUAGAGUUUGAAAAGUAAGACCAAACAUAGGUAAAAACCAAACUCUUAGGUUGUAUUCGAAAAUAAAAAUCUAUGAUCAAAUGAUGAUAGUGUUGAUGUUUGUAAUAUUCAAAGUGAAUAAUUACCAAUAAAUACAUCUAAAUUGUACAGCAUGAAGCAGAACGUAUCUGUCGACGAAAGAAACAGAUACAAUGCCCAUCAGAGACACUUCUUCCACUCUGCUUCGGCUAAUAACAUGCACACUACUGUAUCAGAUUACACUGAAAACUAUCUAUCGGAGCGAAGGCUCGUAGAUUUUACAAACCUUCAAAUCAUGGCACUUUGACGAAUCCUCGCGAUGCAACCCUUCACACUGCGAGCGAAUUCAAACCAAUUGAAUUCAACCAUGUUACUUUUUUCAUCAAUCAUAGGGCUCUGCCGAGAAGUCCGGCUCAUCCGGCUUCUGCAACUUGGGCAAAUCCAUGUCCUUGACCUUCUGUGAUCCUUUCCUCGUGCUCGCAGCAAACCUUGAAGCCAAGAUCGACACCGCGAGAUUCUGCUUCGGGUGAGAAGCACUUGUAGAGGGAGAACUGCUCUCCUCUUCGUCUUGUCCCGAGUCGUCUGACUUAAACGACAGCGACUCCCUCAAGCUCAGGCCCUUCGCCAUCUUCCUCCUCUUGAACCGCCGCCAGGCCGCCUGGAUAAAGCAAGCCGCCCAUGUCCUCCAAUGUGGGGAGUAGAACCGGAAGGCGUGCUGCAGCUUCUUGCUAUGGAGCCUUCUGAAUUGUGUGGCGACAAAUUUAAGGUCUUCGGCUCGUAGUGCGAAGGCCUCGACUUCGACUAGUGCUUUUACCGUACGGGUCGAAGAGGGCAAGUUGGUGGUCGACUUGGGGAGGAGGGCCCACCCAAGGAGCUCCUCACCGCAGAAAUCGCCGGGCUUCAGGGCUAUGGAGUUGAAGAAGCCGGUGCGGCCACCAUUGGUGGUGGAGCUCUCGAGCUUGCCGCGGAUGAUGAAGAGCAUCUCGGUGACAGGGUCGCCCUCGCGGACGAUGUAAGUGCCCUCCGUGCUUAAAGAGGAUACGAGGCGUUCACAUAUGGCAUCAAGUAGUUGGCCGUCCAUUUGCGAGAAAAAAGGGACCUACCAUUUUCAAAGAAAAAUGCGGGGUCAGGAACUAUUUGCAAGCAAUAGAUAGAACACUAACAAACAAGAUGUAGUUGCAAAUAGCACAAAAAGGUCAUGUUGGAGUAUCUUGUUUAAAUCUGCUACCAUGCUUCAAAUUUCAUAGCAAAUCAGAAGAUAUUGAUUCUAAUAAUCCUCUCAUGGACAUGUGCGACAAGCAAGUGGAAUCAGGUAAAGCUAAGAGAUAAAUCAAUUGCUUCUUCGCAAAGAGAAGAACAAGCAAUAGGGGCAAUACUGCGUACCCGUCGAACGAGGUCCAAGCAAAGGUGGCGUUGGAUGUCUCGCCGAAGGUCGGCAGGUAAGGACUUCAAUAUCGAUUCUUCGUCCACCCCUCGGGUUGCGAGCCACUUGUAUUGGACAAACCGCCUCACCCGCUCUCGCAGUUCGUGAGGGAGCUGGCGAUGCCUCAUCCACUCCUCGGUGUCCCUUUGCUUGAGCCUCCAUUCCUCGACCCUCACAGUGAUAGAUUGCAGGUAGGUCUGAAAUAUGAUUUCGGUACUGGUCAGCUCGAGAUACACGAACGACGAACACAUAACCAAGAAAUGGUAAAACUAACAUUAAUCAGGUCCACUCCAAGUCUGAUAACUAUGCUACAUUUAUUUAACAGAUCAAUUAGUAACAAUUAACUAGAACUUGGAAGAUCAAGCAAGCACCUUCAUAAUUACAAAACUAACAAGAAUUUUACCUGGACGUUUCCGAUCAAAUGUGCAAAUAAAACAAGGCCAACGACAGCUAAGCAAAUGGCAUACAAUGUCUCCCCGAUAAAAGUGCUGACGAUCAGAGUCUGGCCGUAGCAGCUGAAAACAUGAAGAACAAGGUAUACAGCAUAAGAAAAUAUGUAAUUUUGAAUAAUAGCAUAGAAGAAAAAAUAUUUUCCAACAGAGAAAAAGAAGAGCAAAUUUAAGGAAUAUAAUCAUACCUCAGAUUUUGCAAACCCCACCAGAAUGAAUAGAAGUACUUCUUAACGAACUCCUCAGCAGGAGCCUGAUUGCUCAAUGCAGGUUGGAACAUGCCGAAGAGGAAAGCGAUACUAGUGUUAGUAGCAUCGCAGUUUGCAAAGACACCAGUGCUAUUUGCCCAAGUUUGUUCAUCCGGGCUUGAGAAGUCGCAAUCAAAGUACCUAACAUUGCAUAACGGUGUAUUCCCUGUGCCGUCCUCUUGCUUGCAAUAGGAUUGCCAACAUGUAUGUUGGCGAUCAACCGACAGCAAGUACCAGAUCGCUCCUAAAACCUGCAACAUCUGGUCCUUAGCGCAACAAAAGGCUACAAUAUGAUUUGUAAAUCAAAGAUUAUCAUAUUUCAAAUUGUGGCUUUUGCAUAUACACGUCCUUUCAAAAUUAUCUAUUUACAGAUAUACUAUCGCUGUAAAAUCUGAAUUUACAGAUUUACAGAAGUAGCCUUCUCUACUGGGGAGUGAGGGAUGAAAGUUAACUACGGACGAGCAUAUAUGAAAUUCGUAUAGAGUGGAAUCCAAGGAUACCGCAUGACAUCUUAUUUCAAGAAAUAAGCGGAGAAAACGUACAUGGCUGGCAAUCAUGUAAAGAAAUAGAUUGUACGCAGCUCCGGCCCAAGCAGUCUUCGCAACGACACCCGUGACUUUAAUAAUUUCAUAACUCAAAGGAAAUGUUAAAUAUAGCCUCGGAAGAUAUUGAAUUAAGAUGAUGAGAGCAAGAGUGUUAUUGCUAUGUUGGGGAGUUGAGUUCUUGAUUGCUGGUAUUACUAACCACAUAACAAUCUGCAAAAAAAUAUUAAGAAUGAAAAUGUUAGCUAACAGCCAACUCUCAAAGGCGAAUAGAAGAAAAAUGAAAGAAUAAUUGAUACCCUAACUAUCUAAAUUCCCCUCCCGGGUAAUUUGAUACAUGCUUUAAAUUAGCAUAUGCAAUAAAUCAAGAUCAAAACACACACACACACACACACACACACACACAAACUAAAGAAAUAGUUACCUGUGGUAGAGGCAAUGCUGCAGCUAGGUCAAUAAUAAAAUCCGACCUUAAAUACCUCCUCGCGAUUCUUUUAGGAUCCGUGACGAGCUCUCCCCGUCCGAAACCCCUCGUAUUCGGGGCCACAUACGCAGUUCGAAACUUUAUAACAAUAUGGAUAGCAUAUAAUAGAUCUGCAAGCGAUCGAAAGAUGGUGACCACGAUAGCAAGACGCCAGUCGGUCUUGACACACGAAGUGGUCUCACCAUAAUCAAUCGCGGGCAAGUAGAAGUACAUAGGAUCGAUGAACAAAGCGACCAAGCACGAGAUGAGAAAGAAGCGGUUCCAGUUCAAUACGAAAUCACUUCCUGGGUCAAAUAUUCUCUUCCGCCACGGCUCGCGUUCUUCGGAGAUCACUUUCGGCUUCACAGGAUUUACACCAUUAAGUUUAGUAGCGGCGUAUACGCUGGGUUUUGGGGCCUGGUAUGUGGGUAUAGCUUGGUUUUGUCUCCCAUCUGAGUAGAACCUAGAGAGAAAAGCAGUACUGAGAACUUAUGAAUAGUACACAAUAAUAACAUGAUCAAUUCAAACCCUAAAAAACCAGGUUCACAACUGAAAACAAAAGAACCCACGAUGAUUUUAUUCCAUUUUUAGCAUGAUUACAAAAACAAACAAUUGAGACACAAAAACCAUAGCUAAUGUCCUAAAAUUAGCAUCAUUGAACAUAACCAAACUUGAGUCUUGAAUCAGAAAACUAGGGUUUAUACGCCAUUCCGAUUGCAGAACCAACUAAAUACAAGUUCUAACCUACAAAUCACAUCAAAUUUAAAUCAUUUCAAAUGGCUAUUCAUCAAAAUCGGGUCUUUUGGAGGAUUCACAACUAAAAGCAAAAUAACCCAAGAUUAGAUGGACAUUCCGAUUCAGACUCAAAAACCCUAGCUAAUGUCCUAAAAUUAGCAUCUUUACACAUAACCAAAAUUGAAUCCAAAACAUGUUUUCUGCUAAAACCUUGAACCGGAAAAACUAGGGUUUCUGCGCGAUUCCGAGCCAAAAAUCACACAAAAUCAAAUCAUUUCAAAUGGGUCUCAUCGAAAUCGGAUCUUGUGAGAGAAAACAUAAACUCACCUCACGGUCCUCUGCCUCUCGAGCUGCAUCUCAUCAUCCACUCUCCGCGAUCCAAACAUGGCGAUCGACUCAAUCGACUCCGCAAGCGACCCACAUCAAUCCCUGCCCAAAUUCCCCUUCCGAGGGCUCCAAUAACCACUCCGAUCACAACCAGUAGAGCAACAACACCUCAUCUCGGCGCCGUAUUUGGCUCCAAAACGUAGAACACGAUGAGAGGAGGAGGAGGAGGAGGAGGAGACCUCGCAAGGCUCCGAAUUGGGGGAGAGAUGGGGACGAAGCAAGUUGAAUAACUCCAAAAAAACCCUUUUUUAAUUAAUAAUUUAUAUAUAUUACCCCAAAUUCACCUUUUUUUUCUUUUUUUUUUUGAGGUGAAGUAAUAAUAAACUCCAUUACAUGUGAGCUCAUUCGAACAGAAACGGUAAAGAGAGGAGGAAAUGGACUUCACGGAGAACACCGUCGAAAAAUUAAUUAGAAAAUAGGGGGUAAAUUUGCGCGCAGCUCCCCUCAACUAUAAUAUUUUGAGACAGACCACUGGAGUUUUCGCCUUUUUUAUUUUUAGCUGUGAGUCUUUUUUGGAUAAAAAUAUACAAAACUUGUAAAUUUAGUUAGCAUGUACUUCACGUAAUUCUCACAACUAUAAAUUUAUUAAAGUACGUAACUAGCUUAAAUUUUAAAGUCAAAAUAUAGUUGACUGACUCAAACGAAUAAAUUAAAAUAUUGAAUAGCAAAAUCAAAAGUUUGAAAGACUUAAUGGAUAAUUGAUUCAAAAUAGUUCAUAAUUUAUACAAGUUUUGUAUAUAUUUAUUUUUAUUUUUUUUUGUGAAGUAAUAGCUCCUGGUUUAAUGGGGAAAAAUUAUCGGUUAAAAAAAAUACAAAGGGUUCAUGUUAGAUUCGCCUAUAGGCGAGGGAGGUUUUUGACAUUUUUAACAAAUGGGAUUAUAUUGAUUUUUUUUUUUUUUUUUUUUUUUNAGAAUUACAAUUUCGUAGUUUUUUUUUUUUUUUUACUAGUGACAAAACAUUUCAUAAAACUCCAUCACUAUUUACUAAUUAGAUUUAACCAAAUUUAAUAAAUUUAGUUUGCGUAUUAUUUGAUUACAUGCAGUCAUUAAUAUUCCGUAGUUGAAAUGUAAUAGUCGGCAAAAAAAAUAACAUUUCUUCAAACCUACGAAGCAGAAGAUAUAUAGUUACAGCAAAUGUAUCUGUAUAAUACCAAAUAAAAUAAAUUAAUUAAAACUAUUGUAUUUUUAACUGCGUGCAUCUGUUGUAGUUGUAUUGCACUUACGAGUUAAAUUUGAUUAGAUUUAAUUAACUCAAUAAAUCUAUCUAUGUUUUUAUGAAAAUUAUUAUGUUUUCUAAAAAAUAACAUCAAAAUAAAUAAAGUUUCUCAAAAAAAAGAAAAAAGAAAAAAAGAGCAUUUGUGGGUUUAAAAAUGGUGGCGGUGUUUACAAAGAUCAAAGGGGGAGUGGGUCCCACACAAAAGGAUAUAAAAAAGAGCAUAUGUCGUGGCGAACGCUGCUGACGUGGCGCUGAGCGUUGACUCGGAGAAGCGAAAUGCUAAAAAAAAAAGAAAGAGAAAGGAAAAAUGUAUAGGGACUCCCUCAACUAUAACCGUUUCUAAACGGGUCCCUUUUCUUUUGGAUUAAUAACCCCUAAGCUUUUAUUUUUUAGGAUCAAGCAAUUUUAAUAAAAAAAUUUUUAAAGAAUUUUAUCAAGUUCAAUAGUUUUAAUCACUUUAUAGCAAAUAAAAGUGUUGAAUUAUCAAAUGUUACAAAAUUUUUAAUGUAACUUAAAAUAAAAUUUUUAAUUCAAAAAAUAAAUACUUAAAAAAAGUGUAUAUAAAAAGUAACUUUAAUUUAGUUUGCUGUGGUUUUAGCGCAUUUCACUUUACCACUUUAUGGUUCAAAUAUAUUAUACUUAAUUAUUCUAUAGUUUUAUUUUUAUUUUUAAAUUUUAUCGAAAAGAUUUAUUAUAUAAUUUAACGAAAUAUUAACGAAAAAAUUAGUGAAAAGAUAAAAAUGAAACCACAGAACACUAACUUUAUACAUUUUAGAUUACAGGGUACUAAAGUGAGAAAGUGCGAAACUACAGGGAUGGUAUCUGAAGUUUGCUCUAAGUUAUUUUCAUCUUUAUUAUUAAAGUUGAAGGGUUCAUUUCAGAAUACCCUAUAAUUGAGGAAUCUCAAUGUAACUUUUACCCCCCACCUCCCAAAAAAAAAAAAAAAAGUUACAGGGUGUCCAGCUGGAUUGGAGGAUACAGUGGUGAGACAGCUUGUGGUAGCGUGGGGACAAAAUCUUUCACGGAUCACGAGGUGUCUCACAAAUCCCCAGAUGGUUAGUUUACUUCAGUGAAGUGGAACCUCCCACUGUGUGGUUGUCCUCUGGUGCUCAUGUUGAUUCCCCGUGAUUUGACACCUCACCGUCGCAUUUACAACACAGGACGCAGAAUUUUUUUUAAUAUAUUAUGAAAUAAUUUUAUCGCGUAUUUGUAGAGAAUUCAAACUUUCGAUGAUUGAUUUGAUUUGUCAAAAGUAAAAUUAAAUGAAUACUACAAGAUCAAGUAUUUGGUGUAGCAGAUCAGAUCCAUUUUCUUUUGUUACAGAUAGUGAUCUAAUUUAGUAAAUUUAUUUAGGAAUACUAACAUCAGUUGUUAGUAAUAUUAUUAAUCGUUACGAAUGUUGAUAAUAUUGCAAAGUUGCCAUGACCGUUAACAGAAGGAUAUACCAGUUGAUUUGGUCAUUGUGUACUGACUGAAUAUGACCAAAUUCAUUAUAUUCGACCCGUGCAUAACCAAUUCUUGAUUUGCUAAUUGUUGCAUGAUGAAAGUGUUGGUAUUGUUUCAUUUUGAUGAGUAGUAAGCUUACUUGAAAGAGGUUGCAACAGAUUUUUUAGAUUAUUAGAUGAAAAAGAACAUCUUUGAACGAAUUUACUGCACAUAAGCAUCAUCAUUAUAACACUCUAACAAAGUCCCUUGGAUGAUGCUCCAUAACAUUUUCUUCAUUUGUAUUAAUGUGUAAGGUUACAUGUGGUUUUUUAGACUACAUGUGUAAGCCAAUAAUACAUAAUUCGGCUUAGAAAAGGAAGAUGAUUCAACGAAGUGCUAGUAUGAUAUAGUACGAGAAAAUAGACCCCUUGUCUAAGCUAAUUAUGUUUUACUACUUUUGCAAAUGGAUCCGGGUUGGUGGAGCUCCCACCUAGAUCCGCCCCGAACGAGAAUAUAAGUGGGAAUAAAAAAUAUAGAAAAAUAUAAUUCGUCCUGAAUCAAUUUCCAUCCACAAGUAAAUGGAGUGGAAGGUAGGAGACCUUUCUUUUCUUUGCUUCGCUCAAAAUUUGCUCAAAAUUUACCAAAAUUUGCUUUUAUUCGCGAUCCACUCUGAAUGGAGCAGUAAGUGGGGGCCAAAAAUGAAAUUAAAAUUAACCCGCCCCGAUCCGUUCCGACUCGAUAAAAAAAAAAAGAAUGGAAGGCGGAGAACUCCGGAUUCACCUCAUUUGCAUCCUUAGUUUUUACUCAUAGGUUCUAAGUUACCAUAUAUCACAAUCCAACUAAUUACAGAAAAGAAAAGAUCCCUAUAUAACUAUGUUUCCUACCAUAUAGUAUUGAUAUUUUAGCAUAGUACUUGAUAUAGGCUCUCCUAUUUGGUGUGAGAAUUUUCCGUCAUCAUUGGAUAGUAAGAGUGUCUUCAGAUAUUUGGCUUUUACGUUAUUUUUUAAAAUAUAAUAAAUCAGCUCAUAGAUAAAAUAUAUCAUCUUGCUAAAUUAUAGAUGUCGAGACCUUUCAAGGAACAAAUCAGACUUUAAAUUCAAGUCACACUAAAAAGAUCUUUAUAUUGAGUAAGUUAUCGUUGGAUAUUUUAGUCGAUCCGACAUUCAAACAAAUCGAUCAAAAAUACCAUAGAAGCUCACCAAUGUAUCAAUUAUGUAAGCGACCUUUUACGAGGAACACAAAAUUAGUUUGGGUAUAUAAAGAACCCAAAGCCAUCUCAUCCUUUCCUCGCUCAUGAUACAAAAUAAUAACAAGAUUUCAAAUAAAAUAAUUUAAUGAACUUUUAGUGCGAAUUUUAUCUGAGCCGCACAAACAUUUGUAGUUCAUUUUUCAUUUUCUUAGUCAAGUUCAGUUUCCACAAUCUCUUUCCUCCAUAGUCGAUCUCUUUUGUCUACUCUCCUCUAAUUCAAUUGUCAAUCAAGAUAUGUAGGAUGAUUUUUUUAAGGAAAAUGAGAUGAUUUUUGUGUUAUUCGUAUAUUUUAUAAUGAGUUAUAGAUUAAAAUUACGCAUUUUAUAUGUGAAAAAAUAUAGUUAGAAAAACAAGAUAGAAAAAUAAUUCUUUUUAUAUAUGUGCUUAUUAAUGUAUAUUAUUAUUAUUUGAAUACAUAUUCAAUUCAUAUUCAAAUUCGAAAAAAUAACCGAUUAUAUCCGAAUCUGUUUUUAGCAGGUAUGAUAAUAAAAAUUUAGGGUAAACUUCAGAUACCAUUCCUGUGUGUUUCGCACUUUUUCACUUUAGUACCCUAUAAUUUAAAGUAUAUCAAAUUAGUGUCCUGCCGUUUUAUUUUUAUCUUUUUGUCAGCUUCCUCCGUUAAUAUUUCGUUAAAUUAUAUACAAAAAACUUCAAACACUCCACCUAGGUUUUUCAAAUAUUUACUUUAAUACCCUUUAGUUUUAACUUUGUCAUUGAUUUAAUAAAAAAAAUUAGUAAAAUUUAUAAUAAAAAAAUAAAAAAUAAAAUCACAUGGCACUAAAUUGAUACACUUUAAACCACAUGGUAUUAAAGUGAAAAAGUGUGAAACCACAUUGACGGUAUUUGAAAUUUUUUCAAAAAUUUAAUAUCCGACACAUAUUUGUACCUGAAAAAAAAGAAUAUAGAUGCGAACGUGGUUUUGUCAAAUAUCCGAUCAUUUUCGAUCCGUUUUCACCCCUAACAAUAUCCCAUCUCUUUCUCACACGUGGAAUCAUCUAAUUUAUCUACAAUGAACCGGUCCCCGUUUAAGCCAGCGUUGACUUUGCCGAACCGGGGAGUAACCACAGAACGAGACUCCGCGGAGAAUCGUUGACUGGGCCACAAAAGUCAACACAAAACUAUUCCCUGCACCGGCGCGUACCGUACUCCACACGCGGCCCAGGUAAAAAUGUAUGCAGAUCCCCUCAAUUAUAGGGUAUUCGGAACUUCAGCCCUCAACUUUAAAUUUUUUUUUCCGAAAAAACUUCAAAUGCCACUUUUAUAAUUUGCACUUUCUCACUUUCGUACCAUGCGGUUUAAAGUGUAUCACUUUAUACCCUGUGAUUUUAUUUUUCUCUUUUUGUUAUUUUCUUCGUUAAUUUUUUCGUUAAAUCAAUGACAAAGUUAAAACUAAAUAGUACAAAAGUGAAUAUCGAUAAUACUAUGGAUGAGGUAUUUGAAGUUUUUUAUAUAUAAUUUAAUGAAAAGUUAACAGAAGGAGAUGACAAAAAAAAAAAAAAAAAAAUACAGGGUACUAAAUUGAUACACUUUAAAUCACAAGAUACUAAAGUGAAAAAGUACGAAACCACAUGGGUAAUAUUUAAAAUUUACCCAAAUUUUUGUAUUGACACUCCUUUAACUUUUUUUUAUAUAAAAAAUUGAUAGCUCUUUUAGCUAUUAACAAGUAAUUAAUCUAAUUUUAUCUACUAUGAUUGAGUUAAACUAAAUAAUUUGUUAUGCUAAAAUCACUUAAUUCCAAAAAACUAACCGCUCAUGGAAUCUCAAAAAAAUGAGGGGCUAUCUUAAAAUGGUAUAUAGGUGAGGGAGUUUUCAUUCAAUUUUACCUAUAUUUUAAUCAACGGAAAAGUAAAAUAGUACGCUAUUUCAAAAUUUAUUUCUUUUUAAAUAGGCCUUUUUGAAUAUCAUCAUAGAACACAUUUAGGAGGGCGGUGCAUGAGCUGUACUUGUACACCCGGUGCAGGGAAUAGCUUUGCAACUUAACUAACUCAUUAAAAUGAGUCAACGUCUCCCGCGUGAUGAGGUCGUUAUGACCUCUUUAUGAGCCUUGUGACAACCUCUUUCUGGGGUUUUGUGGGAGUGGGGCCCACCAACUCCGAUGUCAAACUCAUGGGUCGUGGGGCCCACCCGUUGGAGGGGGAAGGAACGUGUCAACAGCGUGGACGCUAUUAUCGGGAUGCAACAUCACCCGCCUGCACGACUAUUAAAGCGUGGCUCAGGCAAUUUGGACGGUGGGCAUUUGCCCUAGUUAGAGAUGUCAACGGGUCGGGGCGGAUUUUUAAAGAUCCGAACCCGAAUCCGACUCCAAACCCGAGACCCAAACCAGAAUCCGAACCCGACGGAUUUUAAAAAUCCAUAUCCAAAGCCGAACCCGGCCAAAAAUUCGAAACCCAAACCCGAAAAUUUGAACCAUGAAACAAUUAUUUCUUUUUUCAAUAUUUCAAAAUAUAUUAUAUUAAAUCUAAAUUUUUAAAAUACAAAUUCAAAUAUAACAUCAAAUUUAUAUAUAUAUAUAUAUUAUAUAUAAUACAAAAUAAAUUCGGGUUCGGAUUGGGUUCGGGUCGGGUCGGGUUCAAUCAAAAUUCAUAUCUGAAUCUAUAUCCGUCGGGUUUCUAUUUCUGAUAUCCAUAUCUAAAUCCAUCGGAUAUAUCUGUUUCAUUCGGAUUCGGAUUCGGCUAAAAUUUCGACUAUCCAUACCCAUUGACAUCCCUAGCCCUAGUCCUCCCCAAAGAAUGAAAAAUAAAUAAAAUUAUGCCAAACUUAUUUGAAUUGUGUAUUAUUUUAAAUUAAUUAUUAUUAUUUUAAAAUUUGUAAUUUACUAUUUAAUUUUUAAAUUUAUUUGAUUUGAGUUUGCUAAUGGUAUUUUGACUUUAGAAUUUAAGCUGAUUACUUACUUUAAUAGAUUUAUAGUUGCAAGAACUGUAUAAAAUAUACUAACUAAAUGAGUGGAGAUAAACAAUAUAUUCAAAAAUUUGAAAUCAAAAUGUCAUCGAUCGACCCAAGUCAAAUAAAUUAAAAGAUUAAAUAGUAAUAUCAAAAUUUUGAAAGGUUGGUAACUGAUUCAAAAUAAUUUAUAAUUAAUGUAAGUUCCGAAUACUUUAAUUAACCCAAAAGAAUGCAGAUAGAGUAAAAUAUGUAAAAUUAGAGAGAAAAAAAAAAAAACUGAUCUAGAAACAUUCACUAUUUAAGAGCCAUUUGACUUAUAAAUACAUUAUAAUUAGAGAUGCGAAAUUUAUAUUUGUAUUUAUUCCGUUUAGCGCUAUGUAAGAAAAGGAAGUGACUAUAAAUCUUUUAUUUACUUGCUUAUAAUUAGAAAGUACAUUUACAAGUUUUAUUAUUUCACAUAUGAUAUGGGGGGAAUUAUUUUUUAAAAAUAAAAAUUUGUUUUUUAUUUAAAAUGUGAAUGGAUAGAAAAACGUUUCUUUUGUAUAAAAUUACUUUUUUAAUUAUUGUAUUUUCAACUGCUGCAAGUAAUUGCAACUCUCUUUCUUUUUAAAUUUUUUGGAAUUUAUGUUAAAACCAAAGAAAAAUUUGCACAACUUUUUUAAAAAAAGGAUUUAAAGAGCACACAUGUUAUCGUUACAUAAGCUGUAACCUGUAUAAUAUUUGCUUAUUUUACUCGUCUCGUCAACACCCUUUAUUUAUUGCAUUGUAACUCUAUGUUGCUUACUUAUUAGAUGUAACCUGAGUUAAUGAUAUAAUAAUGUGUUUCCUAAUACAUUAUUUGGUUUAUAUAUUAAAUUUUAUAUUAGAUUUUGUACCAUGCGUGAAUCCUAUUAUAGUGAAUGAUGCUUAUUGAAUUGAUACAAAGAAAAAGAAUUGCGACAAGUAGAGCAAAAGAUUCUCUUUUGAACAUGUAGAUAUUAUAAUCAUAAAUUAUGAUAAAUUUUUGUUGAUAAGAUACCAAGUGGGAUUUAAUGGAGUUAGAGGUCGUUUAGUUUAAUAUACAAUUUUAUAAUUAUAUUUUUUUUGAAUUUAUAGUUUUUUUUUUCAAAUUUAAAAAAUAAAAUAAAAUAGAAAGCAAACAUGGAGUCAAACGAGUUGAAUAUAGUCUCAUGAAUCUCAUGUUUGAGGGUAUUAAUGGGCCGGGUUUGGAUCAACCUUAUCGGAGCCCAUGACUCGGUCCGAAACUGAAAAGUUAAGUGGAGCGUGGACCGGGCCUCGGCCCUAGAGCCAACAUUUUACCCAUCUCACCAAAAGAGGGGGGGGGUGGGGGGUUCAGGGACCAAAGUGAAAUAUCUGAAGAGAUAGAGGGGCGCUGGUGCAAUUAAGACUGUAAUUGUUGUCCUAAUACCUGGCCUUCGAUUUUGAUUUGGACGGCUGAGAUCACUUCCGAACGGCCUCUGAUUUCCCGGCAAAACCCCGCGAACAACUGUAACCGUCGCAUCCUCUUCCUACGUAUCGUGCGAAAACCGAAAUUUUACAAAUUAACCCCUCCAUUUCUUCGAAUUCCAAUCCGAAACCCCUUCUCUCUCUCUCUCUCGCUCCGGUUAUCGCCAUGGGAGGCUCUCAUAGUCGCGAGGGCCUCGAGCUCUCCGACGAGGAGGAGGAGGACGAAGAAGAAGAGGAGGAAGAAGACGAAGAAGAGCACGAGCAGCGCGAAGGAUCCCAAACCCUAACCCCGCCCUCCCUCGAUGACGUCGACUCCAAACUCCGCUCCCUUAAGCUCAAGUACUCCUCCAACCCUUCUCCUUCUCCUUCCCCUUCCCCUUCCUCCUCCUCCCAAAACGCUAACCCUAACCCCAACCCUAACGACGCCGUCAAGCUCUACCUCCACAUCGGCGGGAGCUCCCCCACCGCGCGGUGGAUUGUCUCCGACAAGCGCGCCUCCUACUCCUUCCUCAAACCCUCCCCCCUCCCCGACCGCGCUGAUGACUCCUCCUCCCCAUGGUCCUUGGUGAUCGGAUCCAAGGUGCGCGCCAAGGUGGGCGCGGAGAUGCAGCUGAAGCCGUUCCCCGAGCAGCGGCGCGUCGACUUCGUGGCCGAUGGGGUUUGGGCCCUCAAAUUCGCCUCCGCGGAAGGGUACCGCGAGUUCCAGAGCCAGUACCGGAGCUGCCUCUUCGAGAACACCUACGGCCUCGCCGCGACGGAGGAGAACCGCGCCAGGGUUUUCGGUAAGGAUUUCGUGGCGUGGGCGCAACCCGAGGUUGCAGACGACGCCAUCUGGGAGGAUGCCGAGGGGAGCUUCGAGAAGAGCCCGAUUCUCCCGGUUAGGGCGAGCCAGGACCUGUUGGAGGAGUUCGAGGAGGAGGCCAUUGAUGGCGGGAUUCAGAGCCUUGCGCUCGGAGCUUUGGAUAAUAGCUUCUUGGUGAACAAUUCGGGGAUCCAGAUUGUAAGGAAUUUCAACCAUGGAGUUCACGGGAAGGGCGUUUCGGUUAAAAUUAGCCAUGAUGGGGGUCAGAUUGCAGGGUCUUCGACCCCAAAGAAGGCGCUUUUGAUGAGGGCGGAGAGCAAUAUGCUUCUGAUGAGUCCGGGGCAAGCGGGGAAGCCCCACUCGACAGGUGUUUACCAGCUUGACAUCGAAACGGGGAAGGUCGUUACAGAAUGGAAAUUCGAGAAGGACGGGUCUGACAUUACGAUGAGGGACAUCACGAAUGAUAGCAAAGGCUCGCAAUUGGACCCUUCGGAGUCUACCUUCUUGGGAUUGGAUGACAAUAGGCUCUGCCGAUGGGAUAUGCGGGACCGGAGCGGGAUGGUUCAGAAUAUCGCCAGCUCAAAUGAAUCUCCGGUUUUGCACUGGACUCAGGGCCAUCAGUUCUCUAGGGGCACUAAUUUCCAAUGCUUUGCUUCGACCGGCGAUGGGUCUGUUGUGGUGGGUUCGAUUGAUGGGAAGAUCCGCUUGUACUCGAAGAAUUCAAUGAGGAUGGCCAAGACUGCAUUUCCGGGGCUUGGAUCCCCCAUCACUAAUGUCGAUGUUACCUUCGAUGGGAAGUGGAUACUGGGUACUACGGACACUUAUUUGAUACUCAUAUGCAGCAUCUUUAAGGAUAAAGAUGGAAAGGAGAAGACUGGUUUCAGUGGACGCAUGGGGAACAAGAUUGCGGCUCCAAGAUUGCUGAAGCUUACUCCACUGGAUUCGCAUCUGGCUGGGAAGGACAAUAAGUUUCAUGGGGGACAGUUCUCCUGGGUGAGUUUGAUUACUUCCCCUUCAUGCAUAUAUAUGUGUGAUGUCAUACAUGAUGUCAGUUUCUACUCAUGUAGUAGUUAAAUAUUAGUUGAUUAGUUUCUGUAGUUAUAGUGUUACUUGACUUGUGCUUCGCAUUUGCAUAUUUCCAAUUUUUAUUUGUCUUCCCAGGCUGUGACUAGCUUCUAGGAAUUAUAAUUUGUUGAAGUAUUCAUUUUUUUCAGUCUAACUAGAGAAAUCUGUAAGGAUGAAGGUAACUGUUGCUGUCUAUUUUGGAAUGAGAGGUAAUAUCCAGCUGUAGAGUUACUGUCAGGGAAACUAAUGCACUGACUUAUUUGUAUAAACCAACAUUACAAGCAAAUGCACUUAACCGGGGGGAAAAAAAACAAAAGCAGCUCAUGGAGAUAGAAAUAGUAUAAACUCGUUUAGUUUCUUGACAUGUACUUUCAACUUGCUAUGAAGUAGAGAUGAAAACAAGCAAUUGUUUUCGUAUUUUAGCUGAAACUUGAGAUGCAUUUGUUAUUGUCAAAAUUAUUGACUCGGCACUAGAAUGUAAAUUUUCAUGAAGACUCUAGACAUAUACAAUGAUGAUAUGAAACAUGAAUAUUCGCUCGUAUGAGAAUAUGGCACUUUCCACAUCUAUAGUAAAGUUUAGCUGUUUAGAAAGAGCAAAGAACAUUAGUAGGCAUGUUCCUCAAAGAACCGUUACAGAGUAAAUAUCUGCACAGAACACAUCUCUGGUCAAGAUUUAGUCUAGCAUGUUUCAGUUCGCUCGAGGUGACCUGUCCCAAAUUGCCAAUAAUCUAAGAUGGAUACCAGGAGGUAAGGUUUCUACUCAUUUAGAUGAUUUGGCAUUUGUAGAUUCAUUGACUGUUGAAGCAAUUCCCAUCUGGAAGUUUGAGUUACUUUGAUUGCCUUGGCUAUUUCCUAGCGCUUGCUAAGCGUCUAAGUGCCAGGCAAAACAAUAACACUCCAAUCUUAACUUGACCCCUACAGUUCACUAUCAGAUCUAAUCUUGUAGCAUUGCCAGGGGAGAUUUUUAAAAAACUCCUCAAUCUCGAUAUCAUGCCUGAGUAUCCCAUAUAGUAUAAUUAGUGCUAGAACCUUGCACAUAACGACUAUGAGUAGCAAGGGUGAGAGGCAGCUAAGAACUCGAAUUCAAGACAGAUGUCAAAAGGACAAGGAAUCUUGUCAUUGGUGGCGAUUAGAACAGGAUGUAUUUGGCAAACUCCAAAGUAUCGCUUUACGGUAGGAGUGAGACUUUAGCAGGUUUGGCCGUUUUUGCUAUUUUGGGUUUCACUUUGUCUUUCAGUGGCUAGGAACCCAUAUCAUAUAACGGCGGUCCAAAUGCUUAGAAAGCAUAAGCUUCAUUACAGAUAAAUUUGAGAGUUAUUCAGAUCUUUAGAGGAAGUUGCAGGAAAACAACUUUUGCGCAAAUUUGCUUCUGCGGUUGUUCUAUAUUUACUAUCUGCAGCAGUCUUGGUUUCUAUGGGGAUAAGUUUAUGUCAGCACUUGUUUCCUGUGGAAGAUGAAUUUCUGCAUGGGAGGAAAAAGAACCUAGAGAAGAGCCAUUCGCAUCAACAUCUCUUACUGCUGUAAGUUCCUAUCGAGAUUUUGUUGGGACCUCUAGUUUCUAGCUAAAGAGAGGGAUAUUAGAUCGAACAGAGGUAGAGAAUGAAUAGGACAAAAUGGACGGGGAAGAAGACAGGGUGCAUGGAUGAAUUCGCCUACUAUGGUUGAUCUUUAUUCAAGGAUACACCAAGUGUGACUCCACUUUCUGGACAGAAAUAAGUUGUUUCCGAGUAAAUAGAAAUUUGGAAUUAGUCUGGUGCUUUCGGAUUGCCCCAGGAAAUAUUGCGCUAGAUUUUAGUGUUUGUAUUGUCCACGACAUCUUUUGCUGGAUGAUAAGCAUGAUUUUUACAGGAGCUUUUGCAUAUUAUAAAAUGUACCAAAGAAAGUUUUGCAUUUGAAUAGUUAGAAUUUCUGAAAGUAGCUGUUUAAAAUAUUAGUCAUUUCUAGCUAACUACUUUUUUUUUUUGAAAGGAAUGUAUAGGGUAUUUCCUAUACGUUUCAUUGAAUGUAAUAAGAGUUACAUCUACUUGGCGAAAAGCCAUCAUAACUAGCCAGUAGAACAACGAAAUUCCGCUUAAGCACCUGAAUAUCCUUCUAAUACGGACGACUACAUUAUGCUUAUAUUUUUUUUGAGAAAAACAUUAUGCUUAUAUUGUCAUCUCGAAAACUUGAGAAUAUUCAAGAAAAAGAUGAUGGUGAGGUAAUGAACGUAAUUUCUUAUAUCAUGAGAUGAUGAGACAAUGAAUAGCAAUCAUUUAUUUGCCUCCAAUGCAAGUCAUAACAUGAGUGAUUGCUAUUCAUUAUCACAUUAAAUUUUGUUGCGUUCUCACUCCAAUUUGGAUGUCCAUUCACAUGCAUAGUGCAUUAUUUAUCUUUCUCAGAUGAUGAAUGCCAAGAUCCUAUUCUCGAAAUUCCUUUGGUUUUUUGUUGGAUUAACUGUCUCUCUUUUCACUGCUGCGGUAUCUUCAGGUGACAGAGAACGGUAAACAGGAGAGGCACCUGGUUGCAACAGUCGGCAAAUUCAGCAUCAUAUGGAAUUUCCAGCAGGUAAAGAACAGCAACCACGAGUGCUAUCGAAACCAGGAAGGGUUGAAGAGCUGCUACUGUUACAAGAUCGUCCUCAAGGACGAAUCCAUCGUCGACAGCCGCUUCAUGCACGAGAAAUUCGCCACAAGCGACUCCCCAGAAGCUCCUCUCGUGGUCGCAACCCCAAUGAAGGUUAGCUCCUUCAGUAUAUCAAAUCGGCGCUAACUUGUGAUUAUUUCGUUUUCCCUUUUCUAAUUAUCGCAUGGAGUGGAUUGAUUGCUGUUGAUAGAAUUGGUUUGAAAUUACAGAUUUGUUUGUGCAUAAAUUGUCAAUAUGCUAUAUUUAUGUGGCAUAAAUUCCUGCUUGUGGUUUUUAUAAUCAAGAUUACAUCAUUGUAAUGGCUGGAUUUCUUGGUGAUUUUGAGCAUAAUUUUUUCGUUUCUAUUUUUUUUUUUUUUAAAAUGCAUAUAUAUUACAUUUGGUUUCACAUGUUUAUUAUGGGCCAUUUUAUAGUGGGCCACACAGGCUGCUACACACAUUAUCGAUAUCUCGUAGCCAUAUUUUCAUAUUUGAAUCAUUGAAUUGCACACGAAUCAUAUGUAAACUAUUAAAAAGGUGAAUGUGUAGAGGUAGAGGGGCGUAUUGUACAUGCGAUCGCUCUGUGCUAUAAUCUGGUGCACAGAAUUUUCCUACACUCUGUACGAUCUUACUGUUCCUUCAAACUACUGUGAUGAUUCAUUAAUCCAAUAGUUGGUCAAUUCGACAGUUGACAUGCAAAUUGUGUUAUGCGUGGUAAGAGAGUUUGAUAGAAAAAUACUUUAUUUGUCUUCGUAAGUUGGUUAAGAUAUAAAUUUCUAUAGUCUUCUAGAAAGAUAGAGAGUAUUGUUAUAUACUUUCGACCUAACUCUUUUGUGCCCGAUAGCGUUAGGUGCAACCUUUCGUGCUGAAUGGGCCCUUCGAAGUAUGGUAGCAUUAGUCGGUGCCCGAGAAAGUCAUGCAAAUAUCCUCCCCACCUUAUCCUCUUUCUCGCAUGCAUAUUAUAUUCUACUUUGUUAGCAGAAAAAUCUUGCACACAUAAUCAUUUUACUGUAGAUUUACGACGGAAUGGAUCUCUGCUCUAGACUAUCAGCGGCUAAGAUCCCAUCUGCAGCAUACGUAUCAGGUUACAGGAUUUUUGUGCGCACGGAGCUGCAGAAAAAAUUGCACUCGACUUUCUCAUGUGUCUCUAUGUGUGUGCUGUCUGAUGGAGAACCAACAACUUCGAGCCAGACCAACAGCUUGGUUGACAAAGGCCAGGCUGUAGUCAAUUUUCUACGGCCUCGUGCCAAAACUCCAAUUCCAAGCACUUGACCAUUUUUUGAUUCUGCACAAGGUCAUUGUUUUGCUUUUGAUUUUGAAAUCUUAACGACUUACCAUUUGGAUUACUUAGCUGAGAAAGUAUGAUUAAAAAAAAAAUUUAUUUGUUUUCGUACGUAAUAUCACGUUUCGCAUACUGUAAUAAGUCGGUUAUAAUAUAUUUUCUGCGGUUCUAAAAACUCAGAAAUACAUUUAUAUAUGUUUUUAUACCAAUUUUACUUUAUCUAUUAUUAGGCCCUUAAGUCACUAGCAAGCCCUUCAUAUAUUCUUUUGCUAGAGUGCAUAGUACAUAACCACAUCAAUGAUCAACCACAAAUUAAACUUCUCACAUGGCGCUUUUUUCGGGCUUGAUUUGUUAAUCUCUUUACAUUUUAGGGCCCAUUUGUACAAUGAAACAAAUUAGAGGAAGACGUACAGAACUUACUUAAACUAUGAGCAUUUUGAAUCAGUUAUCUGAUCUUUCAAAAUUUUGAUUUUACAAUCCAACCUUUUCAAUUUGUUUGGUUAGAGUAAGUCAAUAAUACUUUAACUUCAAAAUUUAAGUUUAUUGCUUAUUUUAAUAUAUUUAUGAUUGCCAGAAUUGUAUAAAAUAUACUCACUAAAUAUAUAAAGAUAAACCAUGCAGUCAAAUUUUCAAGUCAAAGUAUUAUACCGACUAAAGCAAAAUCAAAAUUUUGAAAGAUCAGAUAAUAAUUCAAAGUGAUUGAUAGUUCAGCAAAAGUUCUGUAUAUUUUUAAGCAACAAAGUACUUAAUAAUAACUUUUUUGUUAUUAUGAUUAUUCUUUUAUGAAUAUUGCAUCCUAGAGUUUGUUGUUAGUCCAUUAAUUAAUAUAGAACUCUCUAGUACCCACAAUUUUUCGAGAUAAUGCUUACUACAUUUAUUUAAAGGAUGAAUUUAUUUGUUACAGAGAAAUUGACUUAAUAAGAGGUUUUAUAUCCUAUGUUGUAGUACUCUAGUAAACAUUUAAUCAAACCCAUCCAUCAAACUUGCCAAAAGUAAUAUUCUGAAACAAGAUAUUAAUUCAUAAUAUUUCUUUUUUUCAUGGUGCAAAAGCUAACAUUUCUUAAAGCAUCAUUUUAAUAUAAAAUUAUAAUAUUUUCUCCGCUUAGAGACUCUACCAUCAAAUACGACACAAUAUAAUAUCUUUUUUUUUUUUUUUUGUAGUGCAAGUAUUAAUAUUUCGUAAAGCACCGUCUUAAUAUAAAAUUACUGUAUUGCAUUUGCUCUGAGGCCCUGCAAUCUAAUACGACGAAAUAUAAUUAAUUUGACAUAUAUACAUCAUAUUUGUGGUGUAUAUCUUAUACAAUAUAGACUUUUGUGACCCUUGGUUAAGUGUCCUAGUAUCGUUAGAUUCGGAGAUAAGCAAAAAGUGGCUAUUACAGGAAUAGGUAUAAAUUGAGGUAUAAGCGGGGAUUAAAUCAAUUUUAUGUUUGGAUGAAAAUUGGGUUAUUCCUGAGAAUAAAAAAAAUAACGUUUGGUUAGGUAAGGUGGAAUAAGAAUUAAAGUUGGUAGAUAUAAAUAAAAAAUAUUGAUAUUAACCCUCUCCUUAUAUUUGAAUUUGAAAUUUUAAAUUAUAUAUAUAUAUAUUUUAAAAUUUAAAAUUUUAACUUUUAAAUUUCAAAUUUUCAAAUUAAAGUUUAAAAUUUAAAAUAUCAAAAUUUAAAUUCAAAAUUUUAAAUUUUAAAUUUUAAAUUUUAAAUUUCAAACUUUAAAUUUUAAAAUAUAAAAUAUCAAAUUUUAAAAUUUGAAAAUAAAAAUAGGGGUGGGAACAAUUAAUAAAAUUAAUUUACUAUAAUAAAUUUAUAAAUUUGAUAAUAAUAAAUUUUUUAAUAAAUUUAUAAAUUUUUUAUUAUUAAUAAAUUAAUAAUUUUUUAAAAUUCUAUUUAAACUUAAAUUUAAUAAAAAUAAUAUUUUAUAAUAUUUAAAUAUAAUUUAUUAUAAAAUUUAAUAUUUAAAUAUAAUUUAUGAUAAUAUUUAAAUAUAAUAAUAUGUAUAAUAUAGUAACAAUUAAUAAUUUUAUAAUAAAAAUAAUAUAUUAUAAUAUAUAACAUAUUAUAUUUAUAUAAUUUAAUUUUAAUUUAAUUUAUAAUUUUAAUAAAGUUUGAAAUUAAACAUUGAAUAGCACUAUUCCAUCAAAAUGGUGGAAUAGUAAAUCCCUCACUAUUUUGGAACAGCCAAAAAUAGCAAAGUUUGACCGGAUAAAAUAUCGGCAAAAAAUUAUUUCGUUUGGUGGAAUACGCGAGAAUAAUUUUCGUUAUUCCUGCUUAUACCGCCAACUAAGUUUUUAUUUUGAUAGACCCUUGCCCUCAAAUCAUGUAACUCUAGAGAGGAGAGAAGAGAGAGAGAGAGAGAGAGAGAAUAAAUAGUGGCCUUUAUUGAGAGGUUCAUCUCAUACUUUUCUCCUUAUCUCAUCCAAGAAGUUGGAACUUGUCAAGCACAACAACUGUGUACACAUGGUAAUGUUAGGCAAAGCAACUCCAAUUCCCCCCCCCAACUAGCUGUCCCUUUCUCUUUCUUUUGCCAACCAUUGUACCAAUCAAACCAGUUAUUUAUUAACCAAAAUUCAUUUACUUAUAAUUAUAUUAUUACUAUUAUUAUUAUUAUUAUUAUUAUAUAUUAUUAGUAUUAUCAUCAUUUUGGAGUACAAAAGGGGGCCUACAAGUGAAUGUAGCACAUGAGUCUCCCAGUCAAUUUGGGUUAGCCUGACCCCUUUACAUCCAAGCAAGGAAGGUGGGAGGAAGAUAGGGCCAUAUGGUUUGUUCUUGUGGGGGAUAAACAUCCUCACUGAGGAGAGAUAUUGUUGCCUGCACCAGCUGCGGAUAAAACUUUAGUGGGGAGCUCUCGGACGGCGUCUCGUUAGGGAGUACAUCUGAUGUACUGUCACAUACUAGUUUUGUUUCCAUCUAAUGAUUCAUCGAGUAUUUUUAAUACUAAAACACGAAAAAAGAUUUUAAUCCUAGAGGCCGGGAAGGAUUAUAUCUUUUGGAUAGAGAUAAAAGUGACGCGUGGCGACUAAUUAGGACUCCCUAAUAAGGCGUCGUUGAAAAGCUUCCGACUAUUUUUUUUUUUUUUUUCCACGAGAUGCAUAUAUAUGCUCACUUCAUUUACCUCAUCUAAUAUUUGGUUAAUUUUCAACAUUUAAAAUCAAAAUCUAAUUUGACUGAGGCCCCAUUUCAUUACAUCAAAAUAUAUAUAUAUAUAUAUAUAUAAAUUAUGUAUUUUAGAAACCUACUGCUAAACAGUAGAACAAUAAUUUUGAUAUAUAGGCUUUUUGAAUGUCAUAAAGUUCGUCCAUUUUUCAGAAAAAGUUGGAAGGAAAACAUAUAUACAUAAAUGGGACUACAGAACUUAGCAAAUAGAACUGCUGUUUUUAUUCUUUACGAAAACAGACGAGAUAUUUUUCCAUAGCGUAGUUUGGUACUAACAUUUUGAUUUCUGAGCGAGGUGCGGCGCAUAAGAUGCGCUUAAACACUAGGUAUAGGGAACAAGUUCAUUUCAUUUAGGGGGAGUAUAGGGACCUCACAUGAGUCCAACCACUAGCUAGUGCAUGCAUUCCCUUUCAUAUUUUCCUUGUGUAGGUCUCUCAUGGAAGGGUGUUGGGUAGGGCUACAAAAACCAAAUUGGUAGCGUCACGGAGAAGAAGAGAACAUAUUAUAAAUUUAUAUAUAUAUACUAUAUAUUAUUAUAUAUGUAAUAUAUAUAUAUAUAUAUAUAUAUGUAUGUAUAUAUAUAUAUAUGUAAUAUAUAUAUAUAUAUAUAUAUAUAUAUAUAUAUGUAAUAUAUAUGUAUGUAUGUAUGUGACAUGAGUCUCCAUCAAUAACUUUGGACUAGUCAUUUCGGAUAAGGACCAAUAGUACUAGGGAAUCCCUUCUAAACUGGGCAACUUAUCUCACAUGAUUUUUAAUUUUGUUUUCUCCUUUUAUUUUUUGGUCCUCCUUUUGUUCCUAUCUUUUACAUUGAGAAGGACCACUAUUUAGUCUCAUGCCUCUAUUUAUAUCCAAACGUUAAUUUUUUAUCUGAGAAUUAUAAUUCUCGAUUAGCUAUAAUAACCGGGUAUAACUAUCUCCAUCAAUACCUCCAUUUUUUAUAUAUAACUAUCAACUAUUUUUCUUAUUCCAUAUUAUCUAUCCAAACGCUAUUUUUUUUUAUCCUAAGGAACAACCCAAUUUUUAUCCAAACGCUAUUUUUUUAUCUCCAUACUUAUACCUAUCCCUGUAAUAGCUAGUUCUUACUUAUAUCCGAACCAAACGCUUAGGGUAUCAAAGGUGUUAUUAUAAGUAUUUUUCUUACGUUCAAAAUAGUGAAGAGCCGAGUUGAGCCGAGUCAUGUUCGAGCCACAAUCAAGACCCCUAAGUACUGUGUCUAUACGUUUUAAGUGAAUUGAUUGUAUAUUUCUAAUAGCUCGAGUUUUUAGAAUUAAUGGUUAGUGUCAACGAUUCUACAUCGGUAGAUUCUCCAAUACGACCUUACAAUACGGACAUGAAAACUUUCAGAUCAGAACAAAACUUUGAGAUGUUUCGUAGCGAAGUUGUUCUCUGACGAGGGUUCAGUUGAGUGGUUUUGCUGCAAUUCAUGAGAUGAGAAUCAUGCUAUCUAUAUGAGCUAAUGUUGGAUUUAAUGCUUUUAAACUUAAUUUGUACGCGGACAAAGUAUUUUUCGGAAUAUCAUUAUCCAAAACUAGUCCAAUAAAUUAAAACUUGUUUGAUGGAUCAUAAGAGCAUAUAAAAACAACCCCAACUCUCUCUUAUUUGUCUCUUAUUUAUAUGCGUUGCAUUUCAAUUGGUGCGAUUAACUUACAAAUCAAAAUGUAGAAAAUAAUUUCUAUGUUGGAGCUAUUUCAUUGUCACAAAUUAAGAGCAAAUGGAGAUAACCAUAUAUAACAAAUAACCACCCACAAUAAGGAGGAAUUAUUAAUUGCAUAGGUUUGAAAUAUAAAUAACACGAAAAUAAUAUAAUUUUUUUUUACCGUUCGAAAUGUCAAGAAUAUCAGCUCCAUAUUGUGGGUGGUUAUUUGUUAUAUAUGAUAGGAUAGCGAGUAUAACUUUCAUUAUUCCAGCUUUAUCCUCGAAAUAAAUGGUCCAAUAUGAAUUGUGUUUCAUAACUUUUCAAAAUUAGUUUCUAGUNUAAUUUUUUUUUACCGUUCGAAAUGUCAAGAAUAUCAGCUCCAUAUUCAAUAGAGCCCUAACUCAACAUUAAUCUCACAUUAAAUAAAAAUAAGAAUUUCAAGUUAUAUACAACAUAUAAAUAUUUUUCUAACCAUUAAGUUAUAUAUAAGAAUUUUACUCUCCAGUGAUUAAAAAAAGUAAAAUAUUUUUCUAUUAUUAGUAUUUUUCCUACCAACAGGCGACAACAAAAAGCUUAAAAAACCGAAGUACUCGCAAUUAGGGAAACGCAUAUAAUUACACGUUUAACAAAAAUCUUUUCAAGAUAAAAUAUUUUUACCAACUGUACGUGCAGUUCAACUGAUAUCGCCGCUUCUUCUUAACAACAAUAAAUAAGUAGAUUUUUUUUUUUUUUUUCAUACCAAAUUCUACGGCACAGUCAAGGCAAAGAUCAUGUUAGCUACUUCCCCACUAACUAUUUCAACCACUGCUAAAGAAACCAAAGAAACCAAAGAAACCAAUCCACUAAUCCAUCACUAUGUUUACAUCCUCUCUCUCUCUCUCUCUCUCUCUCUCUCUCUCUCUCAAUCUCAAUCUCUUAAUUAAUGUUUCAAAAGAAUAAAUAAAAAUAUCAAGUAUGGUCAAUUUGUUCAUUUACUUUUCCAGAUUCUGGAGUGGGUGAGAUUUAGAUGAAACUCCAACCCCCGAAUCUUCAAGCAAUUAAUAAUAAAGUUGGCUUCUUUUUUCUUUUUUCUUUUUUCUUUUUUUCUUUUUUUUUUUUUUUCUUUGAGCUUUUAACAUGCAUGAAACUCUUUUUGCAACUCCUUGCCGUGUUCAAAUAUGAUGCUUAAAGAAAAAGAGGCCGCGUAUUUUCAAACUUUACGGCUCUUAGGACAUUUGUAUUUCGAGUAGUAUUAGCUGGACCUUGUCCGCCACAUCAGCCGUGGACCGCAUAGUAAAAUUAAUUUUUAACUAGUGAAGUUAUCCGCGCAUUGCAGCGGACUAAUGCUAUAGAAGAUAAAGAUCGACAAAUUUAAAAUUUUAAAAUUUUUUGACUUGUCGUGAGAUGUCAAUAGAUACAAAUAGAAAAUAUAAAAUAGAUAUGUAUAAAUGUAGUAAAAUUUACAACAAUAAAUAAAUUAUAUAUAAUAAUAAUGAAAGAAACGGUAAUAAAGUUAUUACUCUAUAUGCAUCUUAAUUGUCCUGUCAAGAUCGGAGAGGUAAUUCUUGUUCUCCGCGUCGCCUCUGCCGCUAUUGUCGGCGUCGAGCUUUUCUUCGAUCAUGGCCAUGUCGAUGCCCUACGGAGCACCCCCCACACCCACUGCUUCUUCCUCAGAAUUCUAAUUUCAAUCCUCACAUAAUUUAAAAAGAUUAAAAAAUUAAAAAAAUAUAAAAAUUGAAUCAUUCUUGUACAUCAAAAAAAAAGAAGAAGAAGAAAAUGUGAUAAAAAGAGUAUGAAGAGAUUUUAUUUAUUAUUUUUUUUUAAAAGUAAUUUAUUUAGAUGAAAAUGAAUCAUGUGAAUAUAUUAAUUAGAAAGUGGGCAGUCCGAGAUGAGGUGGGAAGGCAAAGUAUCAGGGAAUGAGAAGAGGGGUGAAAAAAAAAUUACCACGUCGCAAACACCAUAAAAAAUAAUGUAUAGAAACUAUAAAUAUAGAUAUAGAUAUAGAUAUAGAUAUAGAUUCUAGAUAGCGCGAGAUGAUGUUGAUGCAUCUGAAUUGACUAAUUAUACAUAAACUUAUCGAAUUUGAUCAUUUUUCAUUGUCUGCAUUAAUUAAUUUGAUUAAAUGUUAGCAUCACUGCGCUUCACCAAAAGGCUAAGACUAUGUUCGAUAAUAAAAAGAAAAUACGUUCUGAUUCUAAAAUCUUACGAAGAAAUUAAGAAAACGUCUUAGUAAUUAUACAGCUCACGACUAACUUUAAUGCACAGGGUCCCCACAAUAAUUUUACACAUAUUUUGUCACAUCCCACGUUCUUAAUUUUCAUAAAUAAAAUAAUAAUAAUAAACUGGUGGUUAGAGCCUCAAACUGGAGGAAUUCUACACUGUCACACAUGCACCACGUCAUCAAUAACAAGCCAAUCACAUUCCUUCUUUUAAACAAAAGUACAAUAAAAAUACUUUUUUACAAUCAUGAUGGGACAUAUAUUCUUAAAAGGAUUAAUUUGAUUGGUUUGUUACGCCACAUCACUAAUAUACCCGUUGCAUUCUAGAAUUUUUCGCACUGGGGACCAAAAGGAGUUUAUUCUUGCCUUGGACUAAAGAUGAACGGGUAUAUUAGUGAUGUGGCGUAACAAACCAAUCAAAUUAAUCCUUUUAAAAAUAUAUGUCCCAUCAUGAUUGUAAAAAAGUAUUUUUAUUGUACUUUUGUUUAAAAGAAGGAAUGUGAUUGGCUUGUUAUUGAUGACGUGGUGCAUGUGUGACAGUGUAGAAUUCCUCCCCCCGUGCACACGGUCCAUGGAACUUGCCACGUGGGAGUGGGACCCACAGUCACUAUCUCAUUAAAUUAAGGGAAAACUUCAAAAACCCCCGUAGUUUCGUAGUUUCUCACUUUGCCGCCCCGUGGUUUAAAAUGUAUCAAAUUGUCCCCAUGUGGUUUCGUUUUUAUCUUUUCGGUAGCUUUUUCGUUAAUAUUUCAUUAAAUUAUAUACAAAAAAAACUUCAGAUAUCCAUCUAGAUUUAUCAAAUAUUCACUUUAGUAUCCUUUAAUUUUAACUUUAUCACUGAUUUAAGAAAAAACAAAUAAUAAAAUUGAUAAGAAAAAGAGAAAAAAGAAACCACAUGGGGGCAAAUUGAUAUAUUUUAAACCACAUAGGGCAAAGUGAGAAACUACGAAACCACAGGAUUUUUUUGAAGUUUUUCCUUAAAUUAAUCCCAUUGGAUAGUGGUGUGUGUACGGACAAUUUAAAAAAAAGGGGUUAGAUUUCAAAUAUCACCUCUGUGAUUUCACACUUUCUCAUUUUAGUACUCUAUAUUUUAAAGUGUAUCAAGUUAGUGUGCUGUGGUUUUAUUUUUAUCUUUUCGUCAGUUUUUUUAUUAAUAUUUUGUUAAAUUAUGUAUAAAAAAUUUCAGAUACUCUAUCUAAAUUUAUUAAAUAUUCACUUUAGUACCCUUUAGUUUUAAUUUUGUCACUGAUUUAAAAAAAAAAAUUAGUAGAAUCGAUAAUGAAAAUAUAAAAAUAAAACCAAUGGUACUAAAUUGAUACACUUAAAAUAUAGGGUAUUAAAGUAAAAAAGUAUAAAACCACGGGAUGGUAUUUGAAGUUUUUUUUUUAAAAAAAAAUGCCACUCACACCAACCUUUCUCUCUCUCUCUCUCUCUCUCCUCUCUCUAGAGAAUUUGUUGUAUAUACUGAAUAAUGGUUGAUAUUUUUAUUCAUUACUUUAAAUAUUGAAAAUUCCAUCUCUCGCUAGCGUGUUUACUAUUAGGGCUUUUUGAAUUUUUAGCAUUUUUGAGAAAUAUAUAUCAAGUGAUCUUUCUCGAAAAAUAAAAAAAAACUUCAGUGGUGAGCUUUCCAAUAAUGCCCCGUUAAGAAGACCCAAUUCGUCGUCAUGUGUUACUUUUAUAUCUAACCAAGAAUUAUAACCCUUUUUUCUAUGAUUUAUUUUUUUGUUAGAUUUUUAGUAUUGAAAAAAACACAAAACGAGUAGUUGGAUGGAGGCAAAACAAACACAUAGUAGUAGAUUGGAAGCCCUACAACGAGACCUCGUUAGGGAGCUCCCACUGAAGUUUUAUCCUGUCUCGAGAUAGUUCUUAAUGUGGGGUCAAGAAGAUAAUUCAAAGAAAGAAAGAAAGAAAGAAACUCUACUAAUUGUAUUAAUAUAUGUACCAGUCGUAUAAGCACAGUAUUCUAUAUAUGCACAUAAAAUUAUAUUUAACAAUAGAUAUUUCAAAAUCAUAACCUACUAAAGUAAAUGUGAUUUACAAUGUCUAAAAUGUCUAUAUAUAAAAAAUAAAUAAAAAUAACCAUUACGUUGGAUGGGUAAAAAAAAAUCAGCAUCAUAUAUAUAUAUAUUAUAUAUAUAUUAUAUAUAUAUAUAUAUAUAUAUAUAAUAUAAUAUAUAGAACUAGCUGGAAUACUAUUAAUAGCGACAAACCUAUUGUGCUAUUGAUUUUUAGUUCUUAGAUUAAGAAAUGGAUGGUUAGGAUGAUGUGGGCCUCUAGGGUUAAGUGAGUAGUUGGUUGAAUAGUAUAAUCUAACGGGUAAAAAUAAUCAGAGGGUUAAUCUAACGGUGGAGAAACUCGAUAGCACCAAAAUCCUUAGUGCUAUCGAUAGUACCCCAGCUGGACUCAUAUAUAUUAUAUAUAUAUUAUAUAUAUAUAUAUAUAUAGAGAGAGAGAGAGGAGGAGAGAGAGAGAGAGUCCGGCUACUAACUUUUAUGAGUAUUGGCUUCCUUAUACUCAUAAGCUUUCGGCCUUAGAUUUAUUCCACUGAUCAUUUCCAUCCGUUAGAUCAUACUAUUCAACAAACUACCCACUCAACCCUAGGGACUACUAUCAUUUUAAGUGGGGACUACCAUCAUUCUAACCACACAUCCCAUCAAUCAACGGUUAAAAAUUUAUGAGUACAAGGGGCCUAUACUCAUAAGAGUAUAGUAGCCCCAGCCUAUAUUAUAUAUAUAUAUAUAUAUUAUAUAUAUAUAUAUAUAUAGGAAGAGAGAGAGAGUCCAGCUGGAAUGCUAUUGAUAGCACGAAGCAUUUGGUACUAUCAAGUUUUCUGCGUUUAGAUUUACCUCCUUUAUCAUUUUCAUCCGUUCGAUUAUACUAUUCAACUAAUCACACACUCAACCCUAGAGGGCCCACAUCAUCCUAACUGCACAUCUUUUAAACUAAUGGUAGAAAACUUAAUAGUAUCAAGUCAUUGGUGCUAUUAAUAAUAAUCCAGCCUAGUUCUAUAUAUAUAUAUAUAUAUAUUAUAUAUACACGCACAUUCUUUAAACUAAUGGUAGAAAACUUAAUAGCAUCAAAGUCAUUAUAUAUAUAUAUAUAUAUUAUAAUAUAUACACGCACAUCUUUUAAACUAAUGUAGAAAACUUAAUAGCAUUAAUAUCAUGGUGCUAUUAAUAGAUUCCAGCCGUAAGUGUACUAUAGUAUAUAUUAUUAGUAUAGUAAUAUAGGUGAUAUAUUAAGGUUACGAGAGAGAGAGAGAGGGAGAGAGAGACGAGAGAGAGAGCUAGAGAGAGAGAGAGAGAGAGAGAGAGAGUCCGGCUGGAAUACUAUUGAUAGCACGAAGUAUUUGGUGCUAUCAAGUUUUCUACUAUUAGAUUUACCUCUGUGAUCAUUUUCAUCCAUUCGAUUAUACUAUUCAACCAACCACCCACUCAACCCUAGGGGACCCACAUCAUCCUAACCGCACAUCUUUUAAUUUAAAAACAGAAAACCUAAUAGCACCAAGUCAUUGGUGCUAUUAAUAGUAUUCCAGCUCUCUCUCUCUCUCUCUCUCUCUCUCUCUAGAGAACUUGUUGUAUACACUGAAUAAUACACUAUCUAAUAUAAUUGGUGGAUAUUUUUAUUCAUUACUUUAAAUAUUGAUAAUUCGAUCUCUCGCUAGCGUGUUUACUAUUAGGGCUUUUUGAAUUUUUAGCAUUUUUGAGAAAUAUAUAUCAAGUGAUCUGUCUCCAAAAACAAACAAAGCUUCAGUGGUAAGCUUUCCAAUAAUGCCCGGUUAAGAAGGCCCAGUUCGUCGCCACGUGUUACUUUUAUAUCUAACCAAGAAUUAUAAUCCUUUUCUCUAUAAUUUAUUUUUUUGUUAGAUUUUUAGUAUUAAUAAAAAAAACCAAACGAGUAGUUGGAUGGAGGCAAAACAAACACAUAGUAGUAGAUUGGAGGCCCUACAACGAGACGUCUCCCACUGAAGUUUUAUCCAGUCUCGGGAUAGUUCUUGAUGUGGGGUCAAGAAGAUAAUUCAAAGAAAGAAAGAAAGAAAGAAAGAAACUCUACUAGUUGUAUUAAUAUCUGUACCAGUCGUAUAAGCACAGUAUUCUAUAUAUGCACAUAAACUUAUAUUUAACAAUAGAUAUUUCAACCGAUCGUCCCUAGAGCAAGUGGCAAAAGGCUUGGUGGUUGGUACCCGAGACCCAAGUUCGAACCCUAGUUGAUUUACAUUUCUAGCUAAGUUUAUUUCUAAAUGAAAUAAACGAAGCGGAUAGCGUGCUACCUAUCUCUCAAAAAAAAAAAAACAAUAGAUAUUUCAAAAUCAUAACCUACUAAAGUAAAUGUGAUUUACAAUGUCUAAAAUGUCUAUAUAUAAAAAAUAAAUAGAAAUAACCAUUACUUGAUGGGUAAAAAAAAUCAGCAUCAUAUAUAUAUAUAUAUAUAUAUAUAUAUAGAACUAGACUGGAAUACUAUCAAUAGCACCAAGCUAUUGGUGCUAUUGAUUUUUUAGUCCUUAGAUUGAGAAAUGGAUGGUCAGGAAGAUGUGGGCCCCCUAGAGUUAAGUGAGUAGUUGGUUGAAUAGUAUAAUCUAACGGGUAAAAAUAAUCAGAGGGUUAAAUCUAACGGUGGAAAACUAGAUAGCACCAAAUCCUUAGUGCUAUCGAUAGUACCCCAGCCGGACUCAUAUAUAUAUAUAUAUACAAGCUGGAAUACUAUUAAUAGUAAAACGCUCUUUUUGCUAUCAAGUUUUUAACCAUUGGAUGAAAAAUUGUAGGGUCAGGAUGAUAUUAGUCGGUUAGAGUUGAGUGGUCCCCCUAGGGUUGAGUGGUCCUCACUGGGUUAUAGUAUUUAAUCCAAUGGUUAGAAAUAAUGAAAAGAGUUGAUCCAAAGGCUAAAAAACUGGUAG